RNAcentral lists this long non-coding RNA (71682 nucleotides) under Ananas comosus (pineapple). RNAcentral describes it as "long non-coding RNA (ACOM_LNC006454)". The record is from RNAcentral. Lineage: Eukaryota; Viridiplantae; Streptophyta; Magnoliopsida; Poales; Bromeliaceae.
AUAUAUAUAUGUGAGAGAGAAGAGACAGAGGGAAAAUUUUGAAUUAGAAUAUUUUCAAAAGCACCAAAAAGUUUGUAGCCCUUGAAUAUAGUGAUGUAGCGGUAGGAUAAUUGUGGUAGGUGUUGGUAAGUAAAAUAGUAUUUGAUCUAAAUGUUAGAAACCUAAAAGCACUACACGAUUGGUGCUCCUAGGUGUAUUCUAGCUCAAUUCUAUAUAUAUAGGGAGAUAGUAAGGCUAAUGUGCUAUUAAGAGUAUAACAGUUUUUGUGCUCCUAAUUUUAUAAUCAUUUAUCAAUUUUGAUGAAUGAUUAGGGUGAAAAUAUAAGAGAAAUUUGAUGGAAGAAAAAUUAAGACACCUAAAUUCUCUCCUAUUUUUUUUCUCUCUCUCAUCAUAAUCAUCCAUCCAUAUUGAUGGAUGGUUAGGAAAUAAAGAGUAUAAGAACUGUUGUAUUUUAAUAGCAUAGUAGUCUCCUAUACUAUCUAUAGUACUUGGGCUCCGGUACUAAGUCUCGUUUUCGAUCUUAGGGUGUUCAAAUCAACGAUCCACACUGUUAAAACUGAUUUAGGGUAUUUAAAGUUUUUGAAAAUAAAAUUUUAUAUUUUUUCGACAUAGUUUAUUUUAUGAUCAAAUCAUUUUAAAAUUAUCAAUUUUCAAUGGCUACUAUGGCGAGUUUGGAGUUUAACGGUAUAGAAGAAUCUAAAUUUUUUCAAAUUUUGAUAAAAAAUACUUCAAUUUUUACUGUCCAUUUUGACAUAAUUUAUUUACUAAGUAAAUGAUGUAAAAAAAAAACUAAAAUUUUAUUCCUAAGAACUUCAUAUACCUUAAAUCAUAUUUAACGGUGUGAAUCGUUAAUUUGAAUACCCUAAGAUCGAAAAUAAAAUUAUAGUACCGGAGCUCUAUAUUAUAUAUUUUUGAGAGAUAGGUAGCACGCUACCUGUUUCGUUUAUUUUAUUUAGAAAUAAACUUACAAAAAUUGUGAAUCAACUAAGAUUCGAACUUGGGUCUCAGAUACCACCACCAAAUUCUUAUCACUUAUUCUAUGGACGGUCUGUAAUUUUAUAUAUAUAUAUAUUGAUUGUUUUGAGGUGAGGUAGGUAUUAUACCUAACAAACGCAAUGCCUAUCCUAUAUCCUCGGUCCAUUUACAUUGCACUGCAUCAUCGUAUGUCUCGUCUCUCUCCAGUCGGCACUGGCCAGCUGGACCUUAAAUAUAGUUGGUAGCUCCCCACCGAGCUCUAGCUAGCCUAAUUCAUGAAUCAUGAUUAGAGCUCUCAAGAUACUUUAUUAGCGUCUCGGGAUUGACUUGUAAGUGGAGAACUAAAAUUUCAUCAGAGUGCUCUUAUGCGCCGAAGGGCCCAGGGAUGUGAUACGAUCGACUUAUGAGAAUAAAAAAGGACAAAGAGCUAGAUGUUUUUAACUGUUAGAUAUUUUUUGAUUGAAAAUAAAAAAACACCAUGAAUACAAGUCAGAUUCAAAUAAACGAAAGGGAAGCCGAGUGUAACACAAGAUAGUGGGCUAAAAUAAGAGAGCUCACAGUCUACCUUCAUCUAGCAGUUAAAGCGGUGCAACUGGAGCUUGGCAUAAUUGGUAAUUAGAAAUAUCAAGAAGCUAGGAUUUUGAACAUUUGAUCUGUAAAGCAUUUGGCCCAACCAACCGGCCGUCCAUCCAGCAGCAGCAGCAGCAGCAGCAGCAGCAGCAAGGACAACAAAAACAAGGCCGUCCAUCCAACAACAGCAGAAGCAGCAGCAGCAACGACAACAAAAACAGAAACAGAGAAUCUCUGCCAACUCACUUUCGGUCCAAACAACAGGUAAAUGAGGAGUGCGGACCGCCCAUGGUUGGGUCCCGUCGCUUUGUCUGUCUGAGAUCCCCCGCCUCCUCCACGUCCAGCUCUCUUAUAGUCCUUCGAGAGCAGCCUGCUCGGCUCUCCAAUUUGGGAAGACAAACACACCUUUUCAACUGUAGCUUUACCUGACCACACGUUUAGUAGCUCAAUUGCAAGAAAUACGCUUACUGAGUUGAAGCAAAUGUGUGCCGCCAACUUGCUAAAGGAAGAAAAAGGAAUCAUAUAGACAAAUGUCCCUAGCACUAAGGUCAGUCAUCUCAGAAGUUAUCUUCCAAGUAUUAUGGACCUUAGAAAAUAUUAGAGCGAAUCGGUCCGUUGCAUUGCAUACACCGCCUUAAGCUACCUCCGGCACCAAAGUUCAUCCCGUGGUUCACGUUUUUAUUCUCAAGCAGUGAUUAGGCGACAAUGACCAUGCGGAUAGUAACCUACCUGAUCAUAUCCAUAUCCAAAGACUCGACGGUCAAGGACCAUGCGGUAUGUACAGUUACGCUAGUUGGAGUCUUUGUGGAGUUAAUUAGUCAAUUUGUAUUAGCGGGUACUGAGUACUAGUUUUCCUAAUUAUUAAUGGCAGUGGGGUUCUAACCAUUUUCUCCGCUUUCUUUUCUCUACCUCACCGUUCUGAAUUCCAUUCUUCCCAGUAAACUCUCUAACCUAUCCCACUUCUCUCAAUUUUUAUUGAAUUGUGGGCUUGCAACCAUGUGCGUCUGUGCACGAGGCCGCAGUGCCUUCUGCACUCUUAUGAAUGAAGUGGGUCAAGACAUUGCCUCAAAAGAGAGGCAAAACACCCCCCCCCCCCCCNAAAAAAAAAAGAAUUUAGUUUUACUCAUUCACGGUAAUUACAGCAUCUGAUGAUUACAUUCACACAAAGAGACAAGCCAGCCUCCAACAUGGAGACCCCACACGAGACGAAACGAACCACAAAACAGGCCCGACGAACCGCAUGAUGCACAAAUCAAAAUCAACACAUUAAUAUACACUAGCGACCAUCAACAAGGCCUUAACAAAAAAGCAUGCUUCCCACGGCCCCACCCAACCUACAGCAAAGCGAUGUCUCACAACAGAGAUCAGAUAAUGUUAAAAUUCAGUUAAAAGUUCAUUUAUAGAACUCUCAAGCUGCAAGGACAAUGAUCACAAUAAGCAGCACAAUACCAAAAAUCACCAAAAGCAAGCACAUCUGCAACAAACACACCAACAAUCAGCUGAAACAGACAAAUAUUAUUCAUUUUGAGAAAUAUUCUAGACCGCAUAUUGGGCAUACCAGUGAUGAAUUUGACUUCUGCGUCUUGGAUGCUUUUGCAAGUUGGGUAUUUGCCUGUGCAGUAGAUGCAGCAGAGUUCUCAAUGUUGGCAUCGAUGUCAUCUGCAGGAAAACAAUGUGACAUUCAUUGAGAGACUUUUUCAUUCCCAAUGGCAAGGGCGGACGGGUGUGUGUGUGGGUUACCAAUCAUGGCUCCUUGAUCAUGGACAAGCAUGGCUAGGUCCUUAAAAAUCUCAUUCACUUCACCAAUCUGCUGCUGAAUCUCCUGAAUGCCUUGUUCUCGCUCCUCAAUGAUAGCCUCAUUGAAAGCAAUCUCAUUAUCCAAUAACAAAACCUCUUGUCUGCAACAUCCCAUGAAUUUAAAAUAGGAGGGUUAAUCCAAUUACAAACACUUCCUGUGGACGUUGGAAACAUAGCAAUGUUAGCUGCUGGAUUUUGUCUACAAUUGUCGGGUGCGGCUGAAAGGAAAGCAUUAAAGACUUGCGCAAGGGUUGGUUCAGUCGGGAUGUUUUCAUGCUCACUGUAUUCAGACAACAAGGAAAAAAGCCCGAGCUAAAUUGAUAUAUCCAACUAAUGAAGGCACUUCACUGGUUAACUGGCAGGUCAGGCAGGAAAUCUGGAUUAUUCAAUAGUGCCACCGUUUUCAAUGGAGAAUUCGAAACAUUGAUCAAAGUGAAAUCUGGAGUGGCCAUUACAAUGGGAAAAGAGCACAAGCAGAAUUAAAGAAACGAAAGCCUCCUAUCAAUUUAACAGACAGAGGACCAGAUUGAAAUUAUCAGUCAGCACUGUUUUGAGCUUCAUAACUGAAACAAUCGACGAGAAAUCUGUAGGGCAACUAGAUAGGAUAGCACAAGGCAAGUGAGAUGUCCAAUGUAAGAGCGCUGAAUAAUUGAGAGUGUGGCAGCUCAAGGGUGAAAAACCAAUGUACGAGAAUUUUCUAAAAAUUGAUCAAAACUUCUCAGUGCAUAGCUCCUUGGGGCCAAACAACAACAACCAUACCUUAUAUCAAGUAAGCCACUAAUGAUAAUUAUAUAUAGCAAAACAAGAGCAUGGUAUACAGACCUCCUUGAUUCAACAAGCAAUGCACGUUGUUCAGGUGUUUUAUCAGGACGAACAUUUAUCUCACUUGCUGUGUAGCUGUAUCAAAAUGACAAGAGACAAGAUUCACAUAAUAAGUUGGCAGUUAAAAUUCAUUGCAAAGAAAUGAAACAAGUGCUUUCCUUAUAUCCAAAACAAGUGAGGCUGUGAAGACGAACAUGACCAGGAAGCUUCAAAAUAUUCAAUUUGUCAAAGUCCUGAACCCUUUUGUACAACAGAAAUAUCGAACAAAAUAUUCAAUAAGAGCUAAAUAAGCUACACCGCUAGGAUCCAGCCAAGUAACACUACCUUGAAGGAAGCACUGCUUGGGGAACAAAUGAAGUAUAAGCCGUCUCCCUCUGAACUGCAAGGUUUUGAGCUUUUUGGAACUCUUGCAUAAUUGCUUUGAAAUCUUUUGCAAGCUUCGCAUCAGCAAUCUUUUUGCUUGCCUGCAGUGAAAAUAGAGAUUUCUUAGAACAACAAAGAAAUAUAAGUAGAGGAUAGAGUUAUAAAUAUAACCUGAUAUUAAUAAAGUUAACGACAAACUGCGAAAAUUGCACAAUGCUGAAACCACUCAUCUAUAAACUUGUAACCCUUUCUGAACAAAAGAGCACCUCAAAUUACAAUAGAAAUAAACGCUUGGAAACUACAACAUGGUAAAGGAACAUAAUAGAGGCUAUGUACAAAGCAGGGAACUGGACCUUGAAGCUUCAGAAGGCAUGGGAACUCAUCAUCUGUCAUUAACAUAGCCAAAGGGCAAGCCAGAGAAUUGUGAAAAUUAUUCAAAAAAUUGAGCCGCACAAAUUAGGCAGAGGGAAGAACAAGAAUCCUUGCAUAACAAGAAAGAAAGUUUUUUCUCCUGCGCACUCUAUCAUGCUCUUCCUAGUAAAAGAUGGUAACAACUCUGUUGAAAGCACUAGAGAUGAACAAUUCAAGUCAUAGGUUGAAAAAUUGAUAACGAAGUAAGUUACCACUGAUUUUUUGUAAGCCAUUGCACGAUUAGCUUUUGCUUUUGUCCAGAUGCACCUUGAGAUUUUGAGAGAGUACUUGAAGUGAGAGCAAGCAAGAUUAAUACAUAUAAACUAGAUUUCAUUUUAACUGUUUGUAGGGCCCACAUAUAUUGGAAUUCAGCCCACACUAUAAGAAACUUGUAUUUUAUCGAGCAACAAGUAAGCAAUUUGAUCUGGUUAGGGCCUAAUGCGGUCAAGUUUAAUUUAGGGUGCUCUGGAUAGCUCACUUGCAUCAGAACAGCAACUGAGGCUUGCAAAUCAUUCAAAUGUGGAAUCAUGCGUUCCAUUUAUAAGAUCAAAGAGACAGAGUGGAUAAGAAGAAAAGGUUCUAAUAAGAUACUUACGCUGAUUUCGCUGUUUUUAUCUGCUUCACUAGCUAGUUUGAGUUUGUCCGUGGUAUCUUUUAUUAGCUGAAGAAUAUGUACCCGUGUUUUGUGCCUGCGAGAAGGACAACAUGAAAUAUUGAAUUGGGACAGAAAACAAAGUUUCACAUGGAAUAGUUGGCGGAAAAUUCAGCAAUAUAGUUGAUUGUCAACAAACAGCUGCCAAAAGAACUUUGCAAGCACAUUGCAUCUCGGACUGAGACGAAAAGCAGAGCUUUUCAAUGUUACUCGGGACAAAGAUUGAGGGAUCAUCCGCCUCAACAAAUAAAUAGACCAUUAAAAUAUCAACGCAGGUGCCUUAUGGUUGGCCUUUUCCAAAAGCAAUAAGCCUUGCCAUCUUGAUGAAGUGCUCUAUCGCGUCGCGAUAUGUUGGCCGUGCGGCCAAAUACAGCCGCAGAAUAAAAGACCAGGUAAAACUCUAAACCUGUCGAAAAGAAUUUAGGAGAGAAAGAUGUUGGCCUUCCGUGGACUUCCUCUCGUUGAAAAGGAACGGACACUAAAUUCCGAUGGAUAAGAAACAUCGUCGAGAUAAGAAUCAAAGUACAGAUCAUUCGGUAAUUAAUCACUAGCCAAAGAAAAGAGUUUUUUUUUUUUGUUUUCAGCGAAGAAAAAUCAUUUCAAGAUCAGGGAGAAACAACCAAUACCAGGAAACGAACCAAUCUAGACAAUCUGACAUUUUGACCUGCAGAAGUAACAAAAAAAAAAAAAAAAAAAAAAANNNNNNNNNNNNNNNNNNNNACCAAUACCAGGAAACGAACCAAUCUAGACAAUCUGACAUUUUGACCUGCAGAAGUAACAAAAAAAAAAAAAAAAAAAAAAAAAAAAAAAGGAGGAAAGAGGAAGUAAAGGGAAGUUGCGGACAGCUUAUCGCGGAGGUCGGGCGUGUCCUUGGGGGUGCCGAUGGUGUUGACGAGGCGCUGGAAGGUGGCGACGGCGGUGGUGAUCUGGAAGACCCCCGACGCCACCGCCUGCGUGGAUUCCUUGCCCUUCCUCCCGUUGACCGCCACAUUCCCCCACCGGCCGCCGCCGCGCCCCGAUUCCAGGUCCUGGAAGCUCAUCCUCCUCCUCCACCUCCUCCUCCUCCUCCUCCUCCUCCUCCUCUUUCUUCUUCUUCUGAUAAUGAUGCUGAUGAUUUUAUGAUGGCGAUGACGAUGAUCUUUUAUCUCCUCCUCCUCCUCCUCCUUUUCCUCCUCCUCCUCCUCCUCGGGGAAAAACACCGUCCGAUUUCUUCUUCUCCUUGACGACGACGAUGUUAUCUCUCCUCCUCUUCCCCGAAACAAAGGUGCGAAAGAAAGAAACCCUAGGUUGAACGGCGACGCAGAUGGUCGAAGAUGAUGAUUCGAACGCACGGAACGGAGAUGAAGAUCUCGGUGGUAGUGGGGUUUACAUUACAUAUGGGGCUUGUUUGGUUCGCCCUUCUUUAUCUAGGACGGUUCGCUCUUUUAUUACCUAGCAAUCGAAGGAAUAGGCGAAUCCAUUUAAGUAUUUGAUAUACGAAAAUUAUAUUUCGAUUUCAAUUUUUUGGUCAAUGGAAAAUUUUCAAUCAUUGCUUUUUUUUUUUUCCAAUCCUGCAGUUUGAAUUCCAGCGGAAAAAGAUGCACUUUACAAAAAAAAAAGGAAAAAUAAAUAUCUCAAUUAUAUUUUAUAUUUUAUAUUUUAAAAUUAAAUUCAUUUUUUAACUUAAAUUUUUAAUUAAAAUAUACAUUUAAAUUUAGAAUUUAAAUUUUUAACUCUAAAUUUUGAUUUAAAAUUUAAAUUAAAGUAUAGCCAUUUUGAAUUUGAUCUAUAAAUUUAAAUUUAUAAGUUUGAAUUUGAAUCAAAUUAAAAAUUAGUUUUAUAUAUUUCAAUUUAGAUUGUUAUUCUGAACCAAAUAUAUUGAAAAGUUUUAUGGUUUCAUUUUUAAUUCAUGUCCGUUCCAAUUUAUGUUCUGACUUUAUUUUUCAUUUUGAACUGAAACAUUAUUAUUAUUAUGUAAAUUACAAUAGUGAUUCAAACUGUUUGGUUCAAGUAUAAAGAGAAGAAUAAGGACCUUAUUCCUCUCUUUAUUCCCAAAUAAAUUUUUUUUUUGUCAAUUCACCUCUUAACGGCUUAUCCUUUUACUUCGACCUCUCCUGAUAUUCCUACCAAAUUAAUAAUAAAAUAUAAUUUAAUUAAUGUAUUAUAUAUUUUUUUUUGCUAAUGAACUAGAUAAAUAAUUAACUGCUUAAUUUGUUACUCAAAUAAAUAUUUUAAUUAACUAUUUGAGUAAUUAAUUUAUUAUUUUAAUUAAUUUGCUAAUUAAAUAAUUAAUUAUUUAGUGUACUUAUUCAAUAAUUAGUAUUUAUAUUGAUUAAUUAAUUAAUAUUUUGACUAAUUUAACUAUCUGAUUGUUAUUAAUUAAUUAAAUAAUUAAUUUAUUAAAUUACUUGUGAUUAAAUAAAUAUUAAUCACGAAUUAAUUUAUUAAUUAAUAUUUAGGGUUAUUUGGCAAUAUUUAUGAUUAAUUAGUAAAUUAAAUAAGUUGAAUUAUUAUUUAAUUAAUAUUUUGCAGUAAUUAAUUAGGUAAAAUAUUAUAAUGUUAAAACUAUAAUUAUUCUUAUUCUUGUUAUUCUAAUCUAAAAUUAUCCAAACGUUAUUUUUUUUAUUUUCAAGAAAAAUAUAAUUUUCAUUCAAAUAUAAAAUUAAUUUUAUUUUAGCUUACUCCAAGAGUUGUACCUAUCUCAGGAAUAGUCUAAAAUAGCUUAUUACAAAUAAAAAAUGCCUUAAAAAAAAAACAACGGAGAGGGAAUAGGCUUACAUAGACAGGUGACGAUUAUCGGGCUGGGCUCACGUACUAGAGCCUUAUUGUUUAGAGGGUAAGGGCCCAUGCUAGCCCAUCUUGCUUUUUCUCUUCCCCCAAUUCACGUCCUCGUAUUUUUCAUUUAUUAGAUUAUGUUUGGUUCGAAUAUGACAGAAUUGCGGGCAAUAUGUAAGGAUUACUGUAUUUGAUUCAUUCGGUAUAUAAUCAGGUCAGUAAUGUAAUAUUACAAAUGAUACAAAAUUGAACCGAAAAUAUUAGGGGCUGUGUAUCUUGGAUUAUUGAAGGCGGCUAAUCUUAAAAUUAUAAGUUUACCCCUCCAACUAUCGAAAUCCUUUCAAUACGUUAUUUUAAACAUUUUAAUUUAAAAUUUUGAAUUGCCAACUUUUAAAAUUUAAAAUUUAAAAUUUUAAUUUUAAUUUUUUAUUUUCAAAUUUAAAUUUUUAAAUUUUAAAUUUUUAAACUUCAAAUUUCAAAAUUUCAAUAUUACAUUUUUAAUUUUUAAAUUUUAAAAUUUUAAACUUCAAAUUUCAAAUUUUAAUUUUUAAAUUUUAAAAAUAAAUUUUAAAUUUCAAAUUUAAAAUUUAAAAUUGACAAUUCAAAAUUUUAAAUUAAAAAUUUUAAAAUUUAAAAUUUUAGGUUCAAAUUUCAAAUUUCAAAUUUGUAUUUUAAAUUCCAAAUUUUAAAAUUAGAUUUUAAAAUUUAAAAUUUAAAUUUAAAUUUAUAUUUAAAUUUUAGAUUUUAAAUUUAUAAAUAUCAUUUCUAAAUUUUAGAUUUUAAAUUUAUAUUUCACAUUUAUAUUUUAAAUUAAAAUAUAAAAUUUUAUAUUUCUAUUAAAAUUUAAAAUUUUAAAAAUUUAAAUUAUUUAAAAUAAACUUUAGUAAAAAAAUUAUUUGUAAACAGUAAAAAAAAAAAAGUUUACAAAAUAUUNCGACUAAAGACAAUCUUAUAAUAGUCUAUAUUUUAUUGUUAAGAUUAUUAAAUUUUAUAAAUUGAACAAAGUAAUAAAAUAUUAUAUUAAAUCAAACGCGCUAAUACAGUAUCAAUAGUAAUUUUUUUUAGAAAUUCAAAAUAUUUAAAUAUAUCGAAAUACUUUAUAAUAUUAUAUAACUCGAACAAAAUGCAGUACUAUUGUUAUUCCAAUAAUAAUAAUAAUAAUAAUAACAGUCAAAAUAAUCCGGUUCCCAUAAAUAAACAUAAAUACAAACUGAUACUAGGGUCGAACCGGGACCUUAUCGUUAGCGCAAGCACGGGCCCAGGCAAUUUGAGUCCGAGUCUGUUUCGGCGGACCGCCCGUGGAGCGGAAGCGAGAGCGAGAGAGACGGAGAGAGACGGAGAGGAGCGGAGAGGAGAGGAGAGGAGAGGAGCCGCGGUUGAACCUGGAAAGCAGGGGCGAAGAGUUCUGCCGCGGUUGAUCGUGCUCCCUCUCUCCCGCGCGAUCUGUGUCCUGGGAUUUGGCAGUUGAAAAGGUCGAAUGGGUCGACCUCCGCAUGGCGGCGGCCCCGUCUUCCGAUUCACCUUCAACGAGGUAAACCCCUCCCCCCUACUCGUCUACUUUCCCGCAGUUUAGCUUCCCCGUAUCUAUCUAGGGCUGGUCGCUGUUUAGACUUUAUUUGGAUCCACCAAAUAUCUUAUUCCGCAUGUUUUCAUUAUUUACGUGAGAAGGUUGUACGAUUAGGCCGUGUUUGGACGUCGGAACAAGUAGAUAACUUAUUCGAUAUGAAAACUUUUCUAAUAUCAUUGUAAUUAAGAAGUUUGAUUUUUGUUCUUUAAAGGUUUUGUUAUCCAUAAUUUUGUCGAAUAGUAUAUUUGACCUAUAAAGUCAUAUAUCUUAUUCAAAAAGAUGAUUUGAAGACUGAAUAUGAUAUUUCAUUUUAAGCAUUUGAUCGCACUCUUUAUCUACAAAAUGUAUCUAUCAAAUGUAUAAAUUUCUUGAGUAAAUCAAGAGGAUAUACCAAACGAGAUAUUCAUACAUCCAAACAGGACCUUAGUAGAUGAGGAGCGUGGCCAAAUGUCUAAUGUGAAAAGCUAAUAUAUUUAGUAGACCAGGAGUGUGAUCAAAUGUCUAGAAUUAGAUACUAUAUUCGGCCUUCAUGUCAUCUUUUCGGAUAAGAUAAAUCAUUUUGUAGGUGAAAUAUACUAUUCUACCAAAUCAUGAAUAUCAAGAUCUUCCAAGGAGCAAAAAUUCAACUUUUUUUUUACAAUACAAGCAAGGCCUUUUUGUUCUUGCGUCCGGUUUUUCAUUGGAUUUCUAAAGUUCUCGCUUUAGGAUAUUGACCAGUUUUUCAUUGGAUUUUCCAAUAUAAACACAAUAAGUUUCAUUUUUAGUUACGCGUCCUUCAUUUUCCAUUGGAAGUUGAUAUUUUCUCCCCAUAAAAUAUGAGAGAGAGAGAGAGAGAGAGAGAGAGAGAGAGACAUUCCUUUUUUACUCUUUAUCACCUUACAACACUAUGUAACGUAGGUAAUCUGGAACUGUUCUCGCGCGCUUUUCCAUGUUUGUGUUUUUGCUGAGACUGCCUCAGACAGACCAGACGCCUGAGCCGUCUCUCAUCUUGCCAAAUGUGUCCAAGUUAAGAAUUCAUAAAAUUUCCUGUAUUGUUGUGUUGUUCGGCAUGAAUUUGGUCGGACCCGUUUGGAACUCAGCUAAGCAGAUCCAUUUAAGCUCUAUGUGGACUUAGUACAGUGUGUAUAACACUGACAUAAUUACCACGAGUAAGAUACUGCUGCUAUUAUAAUCUGUAUAACACAAGUUUAUCUAGUAAGUCCUAUUUUUAGGUUGUUGAGAUGGAAGCACGCCUGGAGGAGGUAAAUAAUGCUAUACCUGCUCGUCAUGUUAUAUGUGCCCUUGCAGAGAAGUUCAGGUAUGUGCUAACAUCUAGCUUAUCUGCGGUCACCUUCUGCUUUUUCAAUAUCUUUAGUAUUUUAAGACUUAAUACUAAUGAGCAUCAUCUGCCUUAAGUGCAUCUCCUGAACGAGCAGGAAAGAUUGCCGUCCAGCCAAAGCAGGUACAAGCUUGCCAAUUCCCUAUAGCAAGAACAAACCCCUUUGGAAACUUCCGCUCAUUCUCAAUGUUGUUGCAGGUGUGGAACUGGUUUCAAAAUCGUAGAUAUGCACAAAGAGCCAAAUCUACUAAGGCGUCUGCAAAGCUGACUGUCUCACCUAUGGCCCAGGAUGAUUUACCUUCAAUCAGAAAUGUUGUUCCUCCUGUUCCUGUUCCUACUGGUGCAUAUCGUACACUUGAUUAAUUUAUCAAUAUCAGGAUAAUACUCAUUGACGUUUCCUUCAUGACAAGCUAUUCUUACUUUGUGAUAUGCUGCUUAAUGCUUUAUCCAUGUUUGAAAUUUAUUUCACCCAAUAUUUUGUAGUUAUGGGUGACCCUCUCAGGUUUGGUGCAGUCUGUUUAGGAAGGGUCUAGUUGGUUCUGGGUGGGGCUAGUGUGAAUUCAAACUAGUUUGGGCUGAUUCAAUUUUCUGUAAAUUUGCAUUAGAUUCGGCCUUUUUGUUUGCCGGUGUGAUUUGGCCUAACUUAUGGACAUGCUGAGGGUUCUAUGUUCGCUGUUGGAUUAUAUAGCUUUCUUUUUUUUUGGGUACAAUCUUCGGUUUUGAAGUUCUCUUUCAAUGAAAAGGUUUCAACUCUUGAGAAGAAGAGGACGAAGUUACAAGAGGAGGGGCACUUAUAAGGAGGCAAUCAUUUUAACAUCUGUAAAUAGCUGUGACCCGCUUGAGAAUCCAUCAAGAUUCUCAAAUUUUUUUUGUUACAUUGAUUGUUUUGUUCUUCUAGGAGAUCUUUGUUUCUUUUGCUUCGAGGGAAAAUCUGCUUAUUGAUGUUCAUUUGACAACUUUUUAAGUUACCAAUGGUACUCAAGUUUUCCUCCUCUUCUGUUAGUUUCUGAAUUUUGUUUUUACUUCCCCUUUGUUCUUGAGACACUGUAGCCAUAUCAUCAACCAACAGAAAUUGUUGUUAAUUUGUUGAUUGUUGAUUUGCAGCGUUUGCUGUUUUCCUUUGUGCCUAAAAUCACCUAUUUUUAAGUCCUUGGGUUCUAUUGCUCUCUAACUUAUUGUUAAGCAUCUUUGAGACUUUUGUGAUUCGUAACCAUCAAAUGCAGGAAGAAAUUCUCUGGAGAAUGGCCAAAUGGAAUUUGAAGCGAAGUCCGCUAGAGAUGGGGCAUGGUAAGUAGUCAAUUUAUGUGUGAUGUUUUGUCUAAGUGAUGAUGUUGUGUCUAAGUGAUCAUCAGAUAAUACCUUCUUCCUCCUUUCAUUGAUAGAUCAAGAAAAAAUUAGUCAUCAUCUAUGCCUUCUUCUAUGCUCAAUCUUCCCUUCACAAAUAUUGAAGGCACAUGUUUGCAAGAGCAUAACAGUCAUUUUGGCAGACAACUCUCAACCUUUAUUUGUAAACUAAUGGUAGUCAUAUUUUGGGAUCAUGUUACAAAUUUGUAACAUUUAGGGCUUGUUUGGUUCAAGGGUGGAAUUGGAAUGGAUAAUAGAAUGGGAAUGAAUUGGAAUGAUAAUUGGAAUGACCCACUCCCCCAAGACGUUUGGUUUAUUUAUGGAUUGGAAAUUAGAAUGAGUUAUUCAAAUUUCAUUGUUUGGUUCAUAUAAACUAAAAAAAUUAUAGAAUACUAUAAUAGUAAUUUUACUCUCAAAUAUAAAUUUAUAUUAUUUAAAAUUUAUGAAAAAUAUAAUACUAUUCUCUAAUAAGUUUUCCAAAAAAAAUAUCAAAUUUAUUUUUAAAAACUUUUAUUGAUGUGGGUUAGGGAUAGGGUUUUGAGAGAUGAUAGGUUUUUUUUUUUUUUUUGAUGAGAAAGGGGUGAAGAGAAGGAGGGUGAGAUGGUCACAUGGGCUUUGGGCUUCCGGAAUGAAAUCUCAAUCCGGGCUAGAAGACCGGAAUCAAGUUGAAGGCUAAUGGGCCAUUCCCAUUCCAGUCCGGAAUAGGAAUUCCAAACCGAUUCAUACAAACCAAACAAAAUUAACCGGAUUUGAUCAAACCGAUUCCCAUUUCAUACCCAAAAUAGAUGAACCAAACAAGCCCUUAGAGGGAUAUAUUUUAUAAUAUAACUUUGGAGGGACAAUGUGCAAUUUUAAUGGAUUGGCCCUUUAAAUUGAACCUUGAACUUUGCUGAAUGUAACCGACGAAACUGGAGCUGAGAGCUCUUCCCCUCAUAAAAAAUGCUUUUGAUUCCCUUAACCUCAAGUAUGCAACCUAGCUUUUUUGCCACCAAAAUGUUAUCAGUUGAGCUUGGCCAACUGAAAGGGGCUUUUCAAUCUACCUUCUGUGAGCUUCUUAGAAUAGUGAAUCCAAGGCAGCUAGGUAUGAGUUGAUACGGUGCUAAAAUAUAAAGUAGGAGUUGUAAAGUGCUAAGUUUUAAGUGCUCUAACUAUUUUUAGAUGUCUAUUUCUGUGGAGUAGCCUCUUUGCCUGAUUUUGUAACGUUAGGUUCUGGCCAAUAGCAACAGGAACUAUCUGUUUUGCUUUAAAACCUUUUCUUUGCAUGUAACAGAAUAUUUCAGCAUUAUUCUGAUUAUCCUCUCUAUGUUUGCUUAUAGAUAUGACGCUACUAUAUGGCAGCUAUUCUUUUCUGUCUUCUGCUGCUUUAUAUUUGAUCUAAUUUUGCUUUGAUAUACAGGUAUGAUGUUCAAGCAUUUCUUUCACAUAGGAUGUUUGAAAUAGGUGAUCCGGUAAUGAUACAUAUUCUCUGUUUCUAACUCCAUGUGCAUCAGCUUAUGCAUGUCUUACUCAAUUCAUGUGCUUUUGAAGUCGAGAGAAAAGAUGCAUUCUACUAGUUAAUUUCAUUUGUAAUUUUCUAUUAUUUGCAUGCAUCAGGAAGUUCGAGUUCGUUUUCAAGGGUUUGGUAUGGAAGAGGAUGAAUGGGUUAAUGUGCGCAGGUGUGUCAGACAGAGGUCUCUUCCUUGUGAAGCUGCAGAAUGUGUUGCUGUACUUCAGGGUGACCUCAUACUUUGUUUUCAGGUGCUGUCAGGUUACCAGGAUUCUGCUUUUAAAGUUUAAUAUUUGUUUCCCUUUUCUUGUGUGUCUAAAGCCUAUAGAUGUUUGUACAAAAUGCCUAAACAUUCUUGUGCUCAAUUGAGAGAUCUGGCCUUAUUCAUUGGGCAGCUACUUUAAAGACAUUCUUGUGCUCAAUCAAAAGAUCUGGCCAUAUUCAUCCAGCGAUUAAGACGCUUUUUAAAUAUUCCUUUCUGCUGCUGGAAUUCACUUCGACCUUCCUUAUUCAACAGCAUUCUCUAGCCAGCUAAAAUCUACAUGUAAAAUUGUGGAAAUAAAAUUUAAAUGCUUUUGUCAUCAAUGCAAUUUCCUAGCAUGAGACAGAUUUAUUACAAUAAUGCUUUUAAAUGAAAGUAGUUGAAGAAACAGAAUAGAAUUUUUUUGGAUUAUCUGUUGAAACCUUAAAAGGAUAAUGUGGUACAUCUGAAUUAGUGCUAUGCAUUUUCACGACGUAGUUUGUAACUAGGAUUUUUCAGCGUAAUGUUUAUAGCUAAGAAUUUUUAGCGUAAUUUUCUGGAGUCAUUCACGAACCUGAAUACACUGCUUUUUAAUAACUUUAUGUAUUUUUGGUGAAAAUUUGAAUAAUCAUUGGGUUAUGGGCCAAGUCCAAAAUAUGCAAGGCUAGUUUUCCCUCAGUUUGCAACUUCUAGUUAAAUAAUACUUUAGAGGUGUUAUAUCAUGAUAUGAAAAAUUUGGUGACAAUAUCUCUAUUGUUAGUAUUGUGAUCUCAAAUCUAUUGCUUUACUGUUCCAAGAAAGUGCAAAAUGUGCAAUUAUUAAGUAUGCUUGAGGUGGUGGUUAAUCUCUCUCCUCCUUUCUCUAUUUCUUUGUUGUUAGUGUUGUGAUCUCAAAUGCUAGUUGCUUGAGCGUUGGUUGAUCUCUCUCUCUCUCUCUCUCUCUCUCUCUCUCUCUUCUAUCCUCUCCUUUUCGCCCUUUUUAGGCUCUAUUGUCAACACAAAGACAUUUUGUUUAUUUUAUUUCUGUGACCCCAUUUACUCGAUUCAACAAUGAAUAUUAGUGGAUUUGCAUUUUUUUCCUUUUUCUUCCUUCAGCAGAAUUUUGGAUCUUCCAUAAGUUUUCAUGCCAUUUACGCAAGUUGUGUGCCAUGAAUAAAUUGCCUUUGGGACAGUUAUGAUGAAUAUCAAAUUUGGAUACAUGACUUGGCCAAUAUACGUGGUCAAUAUUGUUGGGUCGUUUGUCUUCAUUCAUUAUACUUGUUCACAGUCCCCUGGCCUGUUACACAGACCAACCAGCUAGUGGCUAUCUGAUAGUUGUUCAGCUUGCUGAUUAUGCUAAAAUUUCUUACUUGGGUUUGAGAUAACAUCUUUGACCAGUCUCCUUUUGAAUAUACUAGAGUUAACUGUAAGAUUUUUGAGUAAAGUUGAGAAGUUCCUUUACCAUGAUUGUUCGAUCAUUAUGGCUGUCUUGCAUGGACUUGGUUUUCUAUUCUUGGUAGUUUCAACUUUUGACUUAUGCCAUCUUAAUUAUAGUGGUUCAAAAUUUCAAAUAAUGUAAGCUGCUGUUUAUUGUAGGAGUAGUAACCCAAAGUAUCUUUUAGAUUAGAGGUACCAGAUAUAAAGCACUCUGUUGCUUCAUUAUUACAUUCCUAAAGUUUAAAGAUUUCUAGAUUAUUUUUAUUGGAAUUAAACUCAAAUGUUUUGUUUUGUGUUUUCAGGAAGGUAAAGAGCAGGCUCUUUAUUUCGAUGCCCAUGUCCUUGAUGCACAAAGGCGUAGACAUGAUUUACGAGGAUGUCGAUGUAGAUUUUUGGUCCGUUAUGAUCAUGAUCAGUCUGAGGUACUUAGGAAAUUUCUGUUAGUAUAAAUCCUCUUCUCCUCUGUUAUAUGCAUGCAUGAAGUUGCAAACUGUUCUAGAUUACAAAGUUACACAAUAAUCACCAAGUAGCAUUCCCAAUCUGAGAAUAUGUUUCUCAAGGGCUUUUCCCUCAUGUAACAAUUCGUGUGUCAAGUAGGACAGUUGGAUCUUCGUAAGUCGCUCUACCUGUGGAUUGGCCUUAUAUGUCCAGUGCUGAAGGUGUAGCAAUUGCAGCGAUAAAUUUCUCUAGGGUGGGACUGUAGGAAGUAACUUAACAAGUGAUUACUUUUGUAGCUACUUGUUAUAAAGGUUAAGCUUGCAUUUAGCACUUGCUGAUAUCCGUGUGGACUGUUCAUUUUGCUCUGCUUGCAUCAAAAUAGAACAAUGUCCUUUUUCUGGGUUGAGGAUAAAUUGCAAUUAAUUCCACACAAGUCAUCAUUUUCAGUUUAGAGAAAAAGGGGAUUUGCUAUCAAAUACAAUUUUGUUCCACUACUUGAGUCAUUUUUGCACAGAUGGCUUUAGCAUAAUGGUUUAUAGCAUAUGUAGAUGUGUUCUUAGCCUUUCCAAAGAACUUACUCUGCUGCAAGUCAUUUUUUUCUUAAGCCACGAAAUACGGGAUUGCGUUGUUGUUGUCAGAGUUUUUCCAAGAUUGUCAUGUCAAAAUGUUAUAUAGAAAAUAAACAACAGUACUCACUGCUUCAAGUUUACAGACACAGUAGCCAAGUUGCCAUCAAAUAUCCUUUUUUUUUCCCUUGUUUUUUUGAAGAAAAUUUUAAUCAUGAGUGAUGCUACUGUCUGAAAGCAGGAAAUAGUGCCACUGAGAAAGGUAUGUAGGCGGCCGGAAACUGAUUACAGGCUACAGAUACUGCAAGCAUCAAGAGGAGCGUCAGGAGCUAUGGAUCAACGGGCUAUGGUGAAAGCUCCAACAAGCAUACCCAAGGAUAUCAAUCCUAUUGUCACAAAUAGGACUAAUCUGAAGCAGCAGAAACUGAUGGAUGUUAACACUGAUGAGGUGCUAACAGUCCUUCCUGCUGCUGUACCAAACACGGACACAAACACGAAGGAGGAGCCUACUAUCGGGGGUGAUCAAUUUGCCUACACCUCUCCGAUCCCCCCACACACGGUUAGUCAUAGCAAUAGUACCAUUCCAGAUGUAACCAUGGGCGACGCUGUGCCUCCAGGGAACUCUACAAAUUCUGAUUACCCACAAGAAGGAAACGUUGAAGUGUGAAUGUGCUUUCUUGAUUGCUGCAUUGUACUUUAUCACUGUCUAUUAAACUGUUUGGGAAUUAUGAAAAGCUUGAAUUGCUCAAACACAUUUGCAGUGGAGAGUAUCAUUUGAUACUGGUCUCUAUUUGAUGCAUCUAUUUGUUUGGUUGGGAGAUGAAAGGAUUAGUUAGCAGUAUUCCCUCUACCCUUCGGAGCAGAUAUAAAGAAAAACAGUUUUUGUUGGCAGUUAUUUCUGGUACCCAUGUAAUGAAUUUCUUGAAUCAUGUAAAUGUAGGUUAUUUUGGUGGUGCAUAUGUAAUGGAUUCUUUGGAUCACAUAAAAUUAGCGUCACAGCUUGCAUGCCAGUUGGGAUGUAUUUUGGGCCGUGCACCGCUGGCACGCCCACAUUUUUUGGGGGCCCGGUCUUGCCCGGUUGUGCAGCGCCGGAUCAGAUUUUGUGGACUUGUGGCCCAGCAUGGACCUUGGCCGGACCGGAUUUUGUGGAUGUGUGGCCCAGCAUCGACCUUGGACAGAUGGCACGGGCCGGGGCUGGUUCCGUGUGGGCCUAGUAUUUUGUUUAUUUUUUAGAUUUAAAUUUUUUAUAUCUAGAAGUUUUAAAAUAUAUAGAUACUUUUAACUAUUAGAGGGGUAUUGUAGGUCAAAAAAAAAUAAUUUUAAUUUUUUUGAAAAAAAAUUAAAAAGUUUUUGGGAAAAAAAAAUCAAAUUUUAAAGAUCAUUUGAAUAAUAUUUUAAAAUUUUGAUAAAUUUUUAUAAAAUUAUUUGGAUUGAAUUUUUUUUUUUUUAAUAAAAAAUCUGGUGCAUGAGAAAUCUGGUGAUUGGUGUGAAGGAAGAAAAAGACAGUUCAAUUAGACAAUAAAGAAAGGUGCGUAAAAGGAUCAACGAAAAUUAAUUAAUUAAUUAAUUAGGCUCUAUAUAUCUACUCGAUAUAUUUAAUCAAUCGCUCGAAUGACCACCGAACUAAAUACAAAAGGGAGGAUUCAUUGUACAAUGUCAUCGCUUCCAAACGACCCAGUCGAUUGCCGACCAUCAUCGGUGGUGGAGUGCUCACGUACGAAGGAUUACGAGCGCGAAAAUGUCAAAGCAUGCAUGCACGUGUGAAGAACCUAGCUUAUUACAAUUACUUAAUUUCGUUGAUUGACGUCCUUGCUAUUGGCAAUGUUUGAAAGCCAAUAGGCUGCAGACAAGUACGUAUGCCGUGUGCAGAAAAUUAAAGAUGUGACUCGGAGUGUCCACCUGCGUAGAAUCUACCUUCUAUCGUGUAUAUCCAUGCCAUAUGAUAUGAUCUGCAAAAUAAGCCUUACAACAUUUAAACAGAAAACAAUGAAAGAGAAAUUACUACGUACCUUCCUGGUCCACCUGCAGGCCAGCCAUGGACUGCAGGUUUUCUCCGACCAACUUUUCGAAAAGGAAAAAAAACAAAAAAUAAUUGAAGAAAUUAAAGAAUGUAAAUUAUUAAUAAGUGAUUCAAACCGAUUUGCAGUUGAAAUGCGAUGGAGGAAGAUUGUAUGGGCAGUCCACGCCCCAAAAGGCGAAUCAAAUUAGCCGUAUAUAUAUAUAUAUAUAUAUAUGCUACAAAGUUGGAUCAGAUAAUUGCUUACAUGUACACCCCUGAUCAAAACUUAGAAAAUAUCUUAUUUAUUUCUAAAAAAAAUUGUUUAAAAAAUAUACCAACAAGCUUUCUUUGUUAGUAUUUGUUACUCAAAUCUAUGCUCACUAUUAAUUAGCACAUAUUAGUUCAUCGAUCUCGACUGAAAUACUAGCUAUUUUUGCCUCUUUAUAUUUAAUCCAUUUUACUAGUCAAGGAAGAAGAAGCUUCAACUUCUUUUCGCCGUAGUCGAAGAAGAUGAAGCUUCAUUUUCUUUCAACUUGCAAAAGAAAAUGACAAUUGUAAGGGCAAAUAAAAAAAGGAGAUUAUUUAAAAAUAAAUAAAAAAGUAGAAAAUUAUUUAAGGACAAAUAAGAAAAGUAUAAGAGACUGUUAAGAACAAAUUAGAAAGGUAAGUGAUAGUAGAAAGUGUUAAAUAUAAAAUUAUUUAAACACUGUUCUCGAUCUAUAAGCUUAAAUUUUUUGAGCAUAACGAUUGUUUUUAAAUAUAAAAAUAUUUAAACACCAUUUUUUUCACAAACUGAGGCUUAGAGAAUAACAGUUAUUUCACGUGGUAUUAGAGUAAGAAAUUCUGAGUUCAAUUCACACCAGGCUUCUAAAAUUAUUAAUUUUUUCUCAAUUAAUUCAAGUCCACCUACGUCAUGGACCUAUAAAAAGUCUCGAGCGCAGAUAUGAAGGAUAGUGUUAAAUAUAAAAAUAUUUAAACACCAUUCUCUAUAAGCUUAAAUUUUUAGAAUACAAUGGUUAUUUCAUGUAAAGUAAAUUUAAAUAGGCAAAUAGGCAUUUCACAUGCAGAAAAUAAUGAUUGUUUUUAAUGGCGCACUAACGGAAUGUGACUCUUAAGGAUAUACUUGAAAGAGUUUGGAACUUUGUAGGAAUUUGUUUUAGAAUAAUAAAAAUUUAAAAGAAUAAUUUUCAUAUUAGCCUUCUUAAAAAAAUAAAUAUAAAAGUAAAAAACCUUUAUAGGGACGUUCAAGCAGCUGCCCCCCAAAAGUAGAGCAUUAGAUUUAACAGUAGCUGGUUGGUUCACAUGUUAAAGUAGAAGCUGAUUGUUUAGAUAAUAUAUGUUCACAACAACCGACUAAUCUUUUUUUAAGAAAAGGCAUUUGUUUAUAUACCCGAUACUACUAUUAAAAAAUUUUAAAUUUAUUUCUAAAUAUUCAAAAUAUUCUUUUAAAUUCCAAUUCCAUUGCGUAGAAUUAGUUGGAGUACAAAGCAAUUGAAUUGGGUGGUCGUGAGAAUUAAAAAGAUUAUCUUUAGAGUGCGAUGCGAUCUAUUAUAUACAGCAGGGUAGUUUAAGAUGACAAUGGUUACAGCUGUAUUUAAUUUUCAACGUCCUGCAAUUAGCAGAAAAAGUGAAACUGGGCAUUGCUGGCACAUGAAAUUAAGCUUGCAGAUGCAUAUAUAUGGGUAGGAAUACUCGUUAACUAUUUGCGCGAGAAACUCCAUUUCCGUAUGUAUAGUUUGGUAACAUAAUAAUUAAAAGUAUUAUAUAUUAUCAUAAUAAAAAUAUUUUAAAAUAAAACACUUUUAAUUUUCAGUGACAUGUUUAAUUUUUACAGUAACGGUUCAACCAUACUUUUUUAAAUAUAAAACAAGUAAAGAGAAGUAGUCUUAAAUUUUGGAGUAUUUUAUAAUAUAAAUAUCGUAUUUUUAAAGGAUAAACAAAGCAAAAUCGGCUGAUGAAGUACUACAAAAAAAAAAAGAAAAAAAAGAAUUGUACAUAACCUAAAUCAUAAAUAUAAUUAAGCCCGUUCUGUUCGCAGCUAUGGUGCGGCGCUAUAACCCGGCUAGCUCAGUUACAAAAAUUUAACCUGCAAAGUAGAGAUAUUUUAUGUAUCCGGAUCCAUGCACAAUCUAUUUGCCGGGUCUGAAAAUUUUGCCGCACCGUACCCCUUCGCUAGCAGGUUGGGCUCGGAUCCAGUAGUUAGCUAGUCAACUAUAGUGCUCACCCGGUUCGGCAAAAACGAAUUCAGAUAGCCUAGCUAGAUUAUUUCAGACAGACUCUUGAUUAAAAAUAUUAUUAAAUAUAAAAAAUUGUGUUUAAUUAUCAACGAGCCUCGAGUCUGGACGUGAAAGGUAUUAGCCAGUGUCGAAUGUAAAAUAUUCAAAAUAUCGUUUUCGAAUAGUUUAACUUUUUGAAGAUAAACAAUAAUUUCACAUAAUUUAGCAAAUAUCUUAAUUUGCCUGGGGUUUGACAAAAUUAUCAUACUGACAUUUGAAUUAAGUAGUGCUGACUACAGCAUUACUGUAGCUCAAUUAAUUAAUUGGCUUUCGAUUUUUAAUUAAAAUUAAGGAAAUUAAAGACCAAUCAUGUAGCCUACGGCCGGGAAGACUUCAGUAGUUAGCCACACGACUUUAAUUAGCUAGACUAGACUAGAUAUUCUUUUUGUUUUGCCAACUUGAAUUAUUAGAUAAUUUUACCCCACGAGUUAAAAAGGGUUAUAUAUUCAUGGAACCACGCAUACAUGCAAGAUCUUUUGCAAGAGAUGAUUUUUGUUUUUGUUGCUAAUUAAGACACGACCGUCGUGAGUCGUGCAAGGAAACCACACGGUAUCAGCUGAAGAUGGAGGGGGUACUGUUGAGAUUUUGCUCUUAAUUUGUAAUAACAAUAACAAUAUAUAUAUAUAGUUUAUUAAUUAGUCCAUGAUUUGGUUGCCUUAAUAAAUUAAGAUUCCAAAAUGGAUGGGUGAUUCACACCUUUUAAUCAGUCAUAUAGAAACUACAACACGCACACACGUGGCUCCGUGCGAGGUUUUGGGAUACACUUGUCGUGCGUGACCCAAACUGCGUGAUGUGGCUGGGGCCCGCCCGGGAGUCUAAAUCUGUGGGCACAAGGAAACGCAGAGGCCACGUCCAGCACCGCAGAAAUCCCGGCAUCAAUUGCAGAAAAUUAAAGCACGUGGGCAGAUCUGCGCGCGCAACACGUGGCCGUAUCCGAUCUCCAUUUUCUCGCGGUUGUUAAUUUGAUUCUUUGACUGCAACUUCUGUAUAUAAUAUAUGUGGUUGCAAAUAGAAGAUUUGCUCAAUCAGUACAUAAGUAUGAAUGUACUGAGCCUAUAUAUGUGCGGUCUUCGACGACUUGCCCGCCACACCACGUGGACUAUGCUUGCUGAUUCUUGAUAUGAUCCGAAAUCGCAAGAACCAUAUAUGCACGCACGCGCAUACAUCAUAUAUACUAUUAUUUAUUUAUAUAUGGUUGAUCUGUACGUAUCAUGUGCCCUGGGACACUUGGCAGUUCCAGAUUUUUACUGCAUGCCAAAGUAAGCAGACAAUUUAUUCCGCAACUUUGCUUUCUCCACGACUUUUCCAGCUCAAGAGAGUUGAAGAGUAAGAGCCGAAUUAAUCGUGCGCGGGGCCGCGGGCCAAUAAUAAAUAUAAAUAAAUAAAUAAAUAAAUAAAUAAAUAAAUAUAUAUAUAUAUAUAUAUAUAUAUAUAUAUAUAUAUAUAUAUAUAUUGUAGUAGAUCGAGGACGUCGUAUAUCAUGUAUACGUGUGGGGUUGGGACGAUAUCUAAUAAUUAUUUUUAAUUCCCUCCGAGCUCAAGAUUUUCGAUCCCCAACUCGAUCGCGCGGUACGUAGCUAGGGAUCGAGCUGGUGCUCCUUCAAGCCGCGCGCGCUCAGCUCACUUUGCCAGCUCAUUAAAAUUUUGCUAGUCCAACACGAUCAAGCUGCUCGUGUGACCGGGCUCGUUGUACCAAUUGUCUUGACGGCUAGGCGUCGUUAUGUAGUACAUUACUAAUUUCUUUUUUUAAAAAACUUAAAACGCACGUUAAUAAGAAAUGCGGAUAAAACUGAGUAACUAUAUAUGCUCAAGUAUGGAAUGUGCGGAAUGUCAUUUUGUAAUAAACAAUUAAUGCUAGUGCCCUAGCCAAAAAUUGGUUAUAAUUUUAUAACUCUAUCGUCCAAUUAAUAAUCCAUACUUUCUACUAUAGAGUCUUAUCAUCUUCUCUCUUUUGUUUAUUCUUAAAAAUCCAAAAAUAAUUUCUUAAAUCUGAACCAAGUAAGAUUACAAUACUUGGAUUAAGAAUUGCAGCACUAUUAGUUUACAACCCAGAAGGGUUUGUAGACUUAGCAUUUCUCUUUUAGAAUAUGAUAACACGAAAAAGAAAUAAACUAAAAGGGACGAAACAGUACCUGACAGACUUAAUAUAAAAACAAAAAUAUACAAUUUUCAUCAAAUUUUCUACACUGUUAGGCUUAACAAAGUCAAGCAUGAGUAAGUUAAAUUGUUAGAUGUUCGCAAAUUCUUGAACCACAAGAGUUUCGAAUCUAAUAUAUAUUGGUUAUUUUAUUUAGUUAAGUUAAAGUUAUUGUCAAUUUUAUUGAAUUUUAUUUUAAAUUUUAUUAAAGAUUUAACUAUUAAUAUAUAUAAAUAUUUCAUUUAUCUUGUACAUAAAAUAUGACAGAUGAGAGAGAGUAUGUGGUAUAUUUUAAGACUAAUUAAGGUAUUGUGAGAAAAGCAUCCUUUUGUAUCCCUUGGGUUGUAAUUAAAUUCUUUACUCGGCCUUCACCCGUGUAAUUAAGUACGUAGAUUAGUUGUCAAUCCAAGUAAAUUAUUAUUUGUGUAUUUUAUUUUUCUACUUUUUUUUUUAUUAUUUAUCAGUAAUCUCAUAUGUAGAUGCACUAGAUAUUUUCCGUAUUUGUCGUAACAUAAAUUAUAUCUAAUUAUGUUGUGGUUGCUUGUGGAUUUAGCGAGUGGAGCAAGUAAGCUUUUGUUGAUCCAUGUUUUUUGAGAGAUUGUUGAGCCAAGUUGAUCGAAGAUUGGCGCCGUUGAGCCAAGUUGACAAUUUAACGGCUGGGGGCGCGGGGUUAACUAAGUACAUAUAUAAAUCUGCAUCCUUCUUCAUAAGAAAUUAAGGGCAUGGAAAAUAUCCCUUGCUGAAAAAGAAAAUGGCGCCGAUCCAUCAGAGGCCGGGGUUGAUUAAUUGUUUGCUGGCAUUUCAGACAUCAAAAAAUCCACAAUGGUGGUAACACGUGGCCCAGCCCGGCCGCCGAAGACUAUCUAGGAAACUACCAAAAUCCAACCUUUGAUUCGGUAUCAGUUCUAGCUAGCUUCCGCCGCAGUAAUAAUAAUAAUAAUAAUAAUAAUAAUAAUAAUAAUAAUAAUAAUAAUAAUAAUAAUAAUAUAGCUUGAUUGUCAUGAGCGACCAGCUAAUCGAACUUAAUUUGACGGCAGAAUUUGUAGAGAGUUUACAUGCAGCUACAUCGAUCUGUACAGCAGCAGCCGGCUGCUAUAAUUCAAGAUGUUUAAUUAAUUUAUUGGUGGAUCGAUCGAUUGAUGUAUGCAUAUCCGUCACCAUAGGUUGAAGUUUUAUGUGCAUGGUUGGAACAAUUAAUAUUAACGCAGGCAUGCCGCGAAAUUUCAACCAAAAGUAGGAGCACCUACGUAUCUCGAUGGACACGUGGCUUAUUUGACUAACUAGCUAGCUAGGUGCGUUUGGCCGACCUUCAAUAUUCGGUGCUGCGGCUGGGGGAGGAGUUCCCCAGAGGAAUGACGCCGCCAUGCAUAUAUAUUAAUUCAUGUCUGCCGCUGUAAUUGCUUGAAUUGAGAGCUACAUAUAUUCGAAAAGGUUGCACUUGCACCCCGCCCAGGAGUGCAAGCACCACGUACGUACUCCGUCGGGAUCGAGAACUAUAUAUAUGUGCCAUUGACUAGAAACAUAGGAAUUGAACCACAAAUUAAUGUGGGGUCUAACACGCACCCAUUCCAUCCCUUAGGAAGCAAGCAUGCAUGGGCCCAUCUAUAUACAAUAUAUAUAUAUAUACACGUACGUUCGUUCGUUCAUACGUUGCAUCUUCAUCCCAUGGCUCCGAAGCUAUCCAGCUGUCGAUCGGUUGUCCCUUUAGAUCUAAUAAUUAGGACGUCGGUUGCUGCACGGAACGUCGCAAGGCCAUUUACAUGCAUGAUACACAGAUUCUGUACGUAACUCGACUUGCAUGUUCAUGUAUAAGUAGCCGAGCGGUCAAAAUAAGUGCAUUUCGUAUAUUUGACAAUUAGGACCCCUACAUAUAGCACGUCUGUACAUUCUAACAGCCUAGCUAACAGGCUAAUCGCUGAUACGUUAAUACCAGCUGCAAGCUGUUCGAUCGAUCUGCUGACUAAUUUAUUGGACGUACAAUUAAGCCCUGAUCGACAUGGACAUUCAUUCAUUCAUUCAUUCAUUACCCUCGCUAGAUUAAUUGGUGAAAAUUCUACAAGCAAUAUUCCAGCAUAUAUAUAGUUAUGAUAAAUACUGACGCUUACAAUUCAAAAGGACAUGAAAUUAAUCUUAUAAGCCACCAUCUUAAUGUUAAACAACAGUGAUAUAAUUAGUGUAGAGAAAUUAAUUAGCCUUUAAAUGAUAAACCUGAAGAAUUGCAAUCCAAAAAGAAUUAUAGAGGUAGCGUUGCCUUCUAGUUAUUGCUGGUAGGUAGGAGCAAGCUUAGCUAGCUAACUAGUUAUCAAAUUGGAAACCCAAGAAAACUAAUAAAUGUUGUCUUUUGAAUUCAAAUGAAGUGUGAUCAAAUCCACAGUAUGUUGAAGUUCAGAAAUGAAGGUUCUCGUUUUUUUUUUCGGUGCAUAAAAUUAAUUUGAAAAGAGAGAAUUGGCACUUAACCAUUUGUGACAAAUUCUUUUAGCAUUAUUUCAUUACGAUAAUUGCUAUCCUUUAUGAGCAUAAAUAUUAAAAAUACGUACCAUUAUCUGAAAGUUUUAUUUCACAUAAUUUAAUAUCCUCCUAAAAAAUUAUCGCAAAUAUCCAAAAAAAAAAAAAAAAACUUCAUAUCAACACAGCAACACAAUUAAUGAGUUGUAAAAUCAAAUAAUGGGCACAUUACCUCUCUUUUGAAAAUUUCUCUUACUUAUUAGUUGUUUCGAAUAAUUAAAUAUCCUACUGCAGCCUUUCCUUUCAUACAGUCCUUAUUUCUUUUUAUAAAACUAUAAAAAAAAAAUGAUUCUACUAAUGAUUAUUUUUACCGACCGUCCCUAGAGUAAAUGGCAAAAGGCUUGGUGGUUGGUAUCCGAGGUUUCAAGUUCAAAUCCUAGUUGAUUCACAUUUCUGGCUAAGUUUAUUUCUAAUUGAAAUAAACGAAGCGGGUAGCGUGCUUUCUAUCUCUAAAAAAAAAAACUAAUGAUUAUCUCUCUGUCCGAAUUUAAUAGAUUUAGGUGAACGGCACACUAACUAUAUAUUAAAGAUUCCAAUCUAAUCUUAUAUCUCACUUUCUGUUUCCAUCAACAUCCCUGCUAUCAAUACGAAAGUAUGGUUCAACGAGCGAGUUAUGAGUUUGAAUUCAAAGUGACAUCUCAUAAAUUGAAUGAAACUUACGAAAUAGUUUGUUGGUGUACUAUUAGUCGCCUAAACCAUCGUUUUGGCUUGCAAGAACAAGUUUACACUAACAAUCUUACAUGCCUAUUUAUAACUUGUUGGACAACAUAAAAUCUGCUGCAUGUUCGAUAUAUAGUUUACUUUUUAAAAAAAAAAAAGAAAAAACUAAACUAAAGCUAUAAUAGAUAGAAUCAUUUCUUAUUUUAUCGAAUAUAAUCCUACUAAUUUUAACGUUGAAGACCGAUAGAAGGAAUUGUCAAAUUAAAAUAGUCCUCCAAUAGAAGGAAUUGUCAAAUUAAAAUAGUCCUCCAAUAGAAGGAAUUGUAAAAAUUGUCCUCCAUGCGUAUCUAGCAGAAACGACAAAAACAACUUUUGCGACAGUGUUGAGCUGGAGAUGAGAUUCCGCUCCCUCCACCCCACCACCGCUUCAUAUAUAUAUAUAUAUAUAUAUAUAUAUAUAUAUAUAUAGGGAGAGAGAAAGAGAUAUUACCCAUCGAAUCGAUCACAAAUAUAAGAUUAAUCGUUUCUCCCGCUGUCAUAGAUCGAUAUAUACAAACUUCUCCAUCUCAUUCCCAAAACUAUUAACCGCCGCCACUCCCUCUCAAUUCGAUAAGGGAGUAGCUGGCGGUGGUGAUUAACAAGAGCAGGCCCGACGAUAUAUAUGAAGUCGGGCAUUAAUCCCGCGAUCAUCAUGUCUUUGCCUCUCUUACCACUAGCAUCCGUCCUCCUCCUCCUAUGCCUUAUUGUCUGCAUCCUACUCAAAGCUUUGUCCUCGUCGACUGCUGCUGCUGCUAAUAAUGAUAAGAAGCUGCCUCUGCCUCCGGGAUCCAUGGGAUGGCCCUAUAUCGGAGAGACCUUCCACCUCUACACCUCCAGAAACCCAAACAUCUUCUUCGCCCUCAAACAGAAAAGGUGCGGAUUAAUUCCUAUACAUACAUACAUACAUACAUACAUCAGUUUUCCAACUUAAUUACAAAUGGCAGUAUGCAAUCAAGACGACAAAAUCUAGGUCUUGACUAUAUUAAGUCAUUAAAUAAUUAAUUAGAGAUUAAUUAUUAAUCACUCGAUCGAGCACAUUUAUCAUAACUAAAUUUGCUGUUGAUCAUUGCGGUGUUAAUUACUUCAAAACUAAAUACAAGUUAACGUACAUGUAUAUGCAGGUAUGGGUCUAUCUUCAAGACGCACAUACUGGGUUGCCCGUGCGUGAUGGUGGCGAGCCCGGAGGCUGCGAGGUUCGUGCUGGUGACGCACGCCCACCUCUUCAAACCCACGUAUCCAGCCAGCAAGGAGCGCAUGCUGGGUCCCCAGGCCAUCUUCUUCCAGCAGGGCCGCUACCAUGCACUCCUCCGUCGCCUCGUCCUCCGCGCUGUCAUGCCCGACGCCAUUCGGGACUCCGUCGCCGCCAUCGAGGCAGUCGCCACUCGCACCCUUGCCUCGUGGGAGGGCGGCCGCAUCGUCAACACGUUCCAAGAGAUGAAGACGGUAAGUGCGUGCCUGCUUCCAAACGUCCCGCCCAUUUUCGAACAGCAGUACUGAAAUCCAUCCUAGCUAGCUCACCAGCGAGCUAGCCAGCCAGCCAGCCAGCCAGCCAAAAUUAAUAAAUAAAAGAUAUUGCUGCUCCGGCACUCAUGCUUUCCCUGACAUAUAUCGUUUUGUCUCUGGUUGGAAUUUAAUUGCAGUACGCAUUUAACGUGGCACUGCUCUCCAUCUUCGGAAAGGAAGAGAUUUGCUACAUAGAGGAGAUGAAACGGUGCUACUACGCUCUGGAGAAAGGAUAUAACUCCAUGCCCGUCAACCUGCCGGGAAGUCCCUUCAGCAAGGCAAUGAAGGCGAGGAAGCGGCUGGCUGAUAUCGUGGCCAACAUUAUCUCAUCCAGGAGGAGGAGGAGGAGUAGGACGCGGACGCAGGGGAUCGGAGCAGCAGAGCAUCUCGAGGGCAGCUGCGACUUGCUUGCUUCUUUCAUGGAGACCAACGAAGCACUCACUGAUGCCCAGAUCGUGGACAACAUCGUGGGGGUCAUCUUUGCUGCAAGGGACACCACCGCAAGUGUGCUCACCUGGAUCGUCAAGUUCCUCGCAGAGAAUCCGACCGUCCUCAAUGCUGUAACAGUACGUCCAUAACAUCAACAGCAACAGCAACAUUAAUUAUAACCCGGCCGCGGUGCUGCUGCUCAUUAUUAGGUGCAGGCCCGUGCCGAGGGAGAUCCUUCCCUGGCCCUGCGCAUAUAUAUAUAUAUAUAUAUAUAUAUAUAUAUAACUGCAAAUCAAUUAAGAAACUGCAUGUGUCCCAUUAAUUAUUACGCUUUCUAAUAAUCUGUCUUCCAGCUGCAUGAAUUAAUUGAUGGUAUAUAUUCCUUUCAGAUUCAUUCCGAGAUCUGACUGUAUACAAAUUAAAGAGAUUGAUUAAUUAAUUAAAUUAUAAAUAUAUAUUUAUAUAUAGGAGGAGCAAGAGGACAUCAUGAAGAGUAGAGGUGAAGCGAAAGAGGGGGAAAAGUGCCUAACAUGGGGCGAUACCAGGAGGAUGCCGAUGACCUCUAGGGUGAUUCAGGAGACAAUGAGAGUUGCUUCCAUCCUAUCUUUCACCUUCAGAGAAGCCGUCGAGGAUGUGGAGUUUGAAGGUCCGUACAUAUAAUAUACACGUACCUAGUACAUAUAUAUAUAUAUAUAUAUAUAUAUAGGUGACGGCCGAACGCUUUCUGUUCAGACAACUACAUAUUUCUCACACACAUACAUAUAUCUACAUGAAUGUUAGAACUUAGAAUUGCGCAGCAAAUGUGUCCGAAAAUGUAAAGAUCAGAUGCUACAGGCGUACAUACGUGCAUGCUUGCCUUUUCUUUUCUUUUUUUUCACGCUUACUGAUCAAGUCUAGAUCUUUGCCGCUUUGGUGUACAUACGCAAAAACCAACAGGAUAUCUCAUACCAAAAGGAUGGAAGGUGAUGCCACUAUUCAGAAACAUCCAUCACAGCCCCGACAACUUUCCUGACCCGGAAAAGUUCGAUCCUUCCAGAUUCGAGGUGCGCGAAUACCAUAUAUAGUCAGUCGAAAGUAAAUUAAGAUUGAAUAUUAAUACUGCAUUAUAUAUAUUCUCUAAAUACAAUUAGCUUAUGCAUAUAUAUUCCAUGCACGCAACGGCGCAGGCUGCUCCCAAAGCCCAUACGUUCAUGCCGUUCGGGAAUGGGACGCACUCCUGCCCCGGAAACGAGUUGGCCAAGUUGGAGAUGCUGGUGCUGCUUCACCACCUCACCACCAAAUACACCUGCUCGAUAUUCGGAUCCGAUGCCGGAACACAGUUUGGACCUUUUGUUUUGCCGUUCAACGGGUUACCCAUGACAGUCUCUCGCAAGUGCUCUUGAACGAUUGAAGUCAGCCCACGUCAUAAUAUAUAAAUAUUAUUUACUAAUAAAUCUUUUAUCUUUGGAUUGUUACUGUUGUACCCAUCUCACUAAAUCUUAAAUAUUUAAUGGUCAAAAAGUCGUUGAGAAUAAAUAUUAUUUUUAAACUAUCAAUAACAUUCCGAAUGAAUUUUAUAGAGUUGAUCUAGGAUAAUUUUACAAGUAUCAUCCCCAUGUUGCUAUCACGUUUUUAGCCAUUGGAUCUACUUUUUGAUUAAAAAUAGCCCUUGGAUCAAACACUAUUCCACCUACCACCACCUACCACCAUCAUUUCAACCUCACAUCUCUCCAUCCAAGGGCUAAAAACACACACGUAUCACUUGGGUGAUACUUGUAAAAGUAUUCUAGCCCUACUCGAAUUUUAUAUAUAUAUAUAUAUAUAGAGAGAGAGAGAGAGAGAGAGAUAGUCUUCUAUACUAUCUAUAGUACCGAGACUUCGGUACUAUAGUCUCGUUUUCGAUUUUAGGGUAUUCAAAUCAACGAUCCACACCGUUAAAAUUUAUUUAAGGUAUUUAAAGUCUUUAGAAAUAAAAUUUUAUAUUUUUUCGACAUAGUUUACUUUAUGAUCAAACCAUUUCAAAAUUGUCAAUUUUCAAUGGCUACUAUGGCGAGUUUGAAGUUCAACGGUGUAGAAGAAUCUAAAUUUCUUUAAAUUUUGGUAGAAAAUAUUUUAAACUAUCUAGAUUAAGGUUAACAUUCUUGAUCUUGAAUUUAAAAGUCCUAUGCUCAAAUUUUAAAGAUUAUUUAAUUUUCACCGCUCAUUUUGACAUAAUUUAUUUACUAAGUAAACGAUGUCGAAAAAAAUUAAAAUUUUAUUUCUAAAAAUUUCAUAUACCCUAGAUCAUAUUUAACGGUGUGGAUCGUUAAUUUGAAUACCCUAAGAUUGAAACAAAACUAUAGCACCGGAGCUCCAGUACUAUAAAUAGUACAGUAACCUAAUUCUAUAUAUAUAUAUAUAUUGCAACAAUAAUUCAAAUUUAAUUAAAAUAUAGUUAGAAAUAAGUUUAUGUCUUUUAUUUGAUUAUGAUUAGAAUUUGUAAUUAUCAAACGUGAAAAUCAGAUUUAUUAUCUGUUAUGACUUAAUAGCUAUAUAUAGUAUGGGUGUGACUCAGGAUGUAAUUAAAUACUUUUUAUUAAUAAAAUUUUUAAUUUAAUAUAUACUAUUCUUUUUCUAACAAUUGGUAUCAAAACAAAUCAUACUUCCAACAACACACACACACGCAAUAAAUGCAGAAAGAAUAAACACAAAUAAAAACUUACAUUAAAAUUGUCAAAGAAUAUUCUAAUUAGUAUCAAAUUUUCCUCUAAAAAUAUUAAUUCUUCACAAGUAAUAUAUAUAUAUAUAUUAUAUAUUAUAUAGAGAGAGAGAGAAGAGAGAGAGAGAGCAGGGCAGGGCUGCUAUGCUCUCAGAGCACGGAGGCUCCGUGCUCCUGAGCCGUUUUCGAUGAUGAAUUUUCGAAUCGACGAUCGGCUCCGUUAGAUUGAUCUAGCGCAUUUGAAGUUUCUAGAAAAUAAUUUUGCGAUUUUUGAUAUCAUUACCUAGUGAUCGAAAGAUUCAAAAUCCAUAAUUUUUAAUGGUUGAUAUCUGCCGUUUUCAAGUUUAACGGUGUAGAAUAUUCAAAUCAGAUGAAAUUUGAUAGAAAAUUCUUUAUACUAUCUACAACAAGAUUAUAUUUCUAAUCGAAAAUUUUAGUGAUAUAUCACCACUUUUUAUAGGAUUUUUAUUUUCACACGUUAAAAAUUAUUGAUUUUGAAUCCUUUCGAUUGACUAGUCGAUUGCUAGGUAAAUGAUAUCGAAAAAUCGCAAAAAUUAUUUUCUAGAAACUUUAAAUACGCUAGAUCAAGUUUAACGGAGCUGAUCGUCGAUUCGAAAGCUCCAUCAUCGAAAACGGCUCAGGAGCACGUACGGAGGCCUCCGUGCUCCUGAGUCGUUUUCGAUGAUGAAAUUUUCGAAUCGAUGAUCGGCUCCAUUAGACUUGAUCUAGGGUAUUCAAAGUUUCUAGAAAAUAAUUUUUGCGAUUUUGUGAUAUCAUUUAUCUAAUGAUCGAAAGGAUUCAAAAUCAAUAAUUUUUAAUGGUUGAUAUAUGUCGUUUUCAAGUUUAACGGUAUAGAAGUAUUUAAAUAAGAUGAAAUUUUGAUACAAAAUUCUUUAUACUAUCUACAACAAAAUCAAUAUUUCUGAUCGAAAAUUUUAAUGCUAUAUCACCACUUUUUAUCGAAUUUUUAUUUUCAACCGUUAAAACUUAUUGAUUUUGAAUCAUUUCGAUUGCUAGGUAUCAAAUAAAUUGAGAAAGAAUAAACACAAAUAAAAACUUCCAUUAAAAUUGUCAAAGAAUAUUCUAAUUAGUAUCAAAUUUUCCUCUGAAAUUAUUAAUUCUCAAUUAUAUAGGAUAAAUAUGGAUCGUCAAAUAUUUAGAACAAUGAUGAUUUAUACGUAUCAAGUGAAAUAACGGAGGAUACAAUAUGCAUGCAACGAGAAGUCUAGCUGCUACACCACAUUUUCUAUAUCCAGCCGAUCACAUUUUUAUUUUUGAGAGAAAAAUACAGUAAAAUAUUUUUUCUAAAAAUCAUAAUAAAAUAAAUAAAUUUUUAAAAAAUAAUUUGAUUGAUUGGCCACAUCAGCAAUAUAAAUGCUACAUUCUAGACUUAGGGCGCGUUUGGUUCGAAGUUGAAAUCGAAAUCAGAAUCGGAAUCGAAAUAAGCUGGAAUUGAAAUUGGAAUGACUCAUUGCCUAAUUCUAUUUGGUUCGUUACCUGAAUUGGAAUCGGAAUAAAUCAUUUCCGUUGUCAGUGUUUGGUUUAAGUAGAUAUAAAAAGCGUAAUCAAAUUAAUAUACUAACUUUAUCUUUAUAAUAUAUUAAUUUAAAUUCAAAUUAAAUAUUAAAUAUUAAAAAUUUAGAUGUUGAGCGGAUAAUUCAAAAUAUAAAACUAAAUUUCGAUUUAUUCAAAUUCAAAUUUAAAAUUACAAUUUAAAUUUAAUCUGAAUCCAUAAAUUUAAUUUAAGUUUUAAAUAAAAUUUGAAUAAAAUUUUAUUUAAAUUAAAAUUUAAUUUAAAUUCAAAUUUAUAAGUUAGAUUCAAAAUACCUGAUUAAAUUUUAAUUUGUAAUUCAAAUUCAAAUUAAAAUUUAAAAUUAUAAAUUUAAUUUCUAAGUUUAAACUUAAAUUUUAAUUAAAAAAAUUUAAAAAAUAAAUUUAAUCCGAAUAAAUAUCUAUUUCGUCCGGAUUCAACUUUCAAUCCGACCUCUCAGGCCGGAUUAGGAUGGGAAAAGGAGGUGAUUGGAGGAUUCUUAUUCCACUCGGAAAUUAGAAUCGGGAGAUUGGAAAAAGAGGUGAGAGGCUGGAUUGGUAAAGAGGUGAUUGGGAGAUUUCCAUUCCACUCGGGAAUCGGAAUCGAAAAAUUGGAAAAAGAUGUGAUUGAGGGAUUUCCAUUUCACUCGAGAAUCGGAAUCGGAAUGGGACUUACGCAUACCAAACACCUACAAACGAAUUCACUCAUUUCGAUUCCGAUUUCAGGAUGAAAAAGAAGUGAACCAAAUACGCCCUUAGACUUUUUUGCAGUCUUUUUAGACUUAUUUCCCACCCACAAAGGCCGCCUCAGUACGUUCGAUCUCAGUUCGUUCGAUUCGCGGAGGAGAAAAAGACGUACCGGCCGGAUGCAUGGCAGCGAGAUGGAUGCAUGAAUGAACUAUAUAUUAUUUUUAUAGACGUGCUAAUGUACAUGAUCGCCUAUGCAGAUUCAAUUGUGAAGACAAAUAAUCACAACUCGUGCGGAAUAUCGAUCCUGUACAGAUUUUUCGUUUUAGCUCUUGGGAGAGAAAGCUCAACGAUAAGUGUUCAAACGAUGAAGAAAUUAUUUACCCCAUUGAGCAGUUUAAAUGUUUCUCCGCAUCUCCAUAUCUCUUUUCUUUUCCCCUUUUUUUUCCUCUGAAUUUGUUCCUAGAUCUUUCAUAUGCAUACCCGAAUCGCAAGACUCAGAUUCCCUGUUCUCAUGAGAAACGGCCUUCUACAGAACUCGGAAGCUUUACACCUUAAAAAAUGCAUGUCAUGCAUUUUCCUACAACAACAGCGGUAAAACUGGUAGUAUAAAAAGUUAUACGGUGCAGCCGUGACACCAGAUUCUUUAUCACAUUAUUACAAGGCGUUACAUAGCCAAAGCAAUUCAAGCCACUUGUGACAAAGCUUCACACUUUGAUGUCUCUGCUUCAUAAUUGAUCUCAUUUGGCACACCACAUUAGCCAGCAUCUACAAAGUAGAGAAUGCUGCUUCUCAAGAUCGACCCAGUUUUUGCGAAACUAAUAGUUGCAUCAUUCAUUAGUCCAAGAAUCUUACCAAGAUCAACACAAAUCAAGUCUGGGUCACUGCUCCAGAUAAAAGCAGAAAAGCCCCUUGUAGACCAAGUUCCAGUGCUGAACCAUCUCGGUCUUAUCCCCACUUACACUAUGGGAAAAACACAUCACUCAAUUGGCCAAGGCCAGCAAUUCUUAUAGUCUUCAAACUAACAGAAAAUCAGCAAUUUAUCAUCUUAAACUAUUCCUCUUUCUUUGCAAAAAAACGCUUGAUUUUGGAUCUAGAAAAAAAACGAGCAGUUAAGCCGGGUGAGCCCACCUUACAAACUCGGAUGGCUUUGCUCUCUUCGCAAAUAAGGAAACACUUUAUCUUCUCUUCUUUUUUCACCUUCAUGUCCAAAUGAGAGAAAAAAAAAAAAAAAAAAAAAAAAAGUUUUCUUUUUUCUUUCUUCUUCUCUCUCUCAACUAUCCAAGUAACCCUCAAAAGCAAUUUAAUCUCAUUUUCCCUCCACACAAUGUCCUUAUAACCACAAAAGGUCCACAAUCAAGUCAAAGUUUGUUUAUAACCCUCAGCAACUAAUGUUUAAUGUAUCAAUGUAGUAGAGCGAUAGAAAAAGUUUCAGAAAGAAAAAUGGAAGUGAAUAAAAUGCCAAUAAGAUGCAAAUCAUUUGGAUGUGAAUAAAAUCCAGUAGAAAUAUUUUAAAGGAAACAAAAUAUAAGAUUGCUAACAAACUGAAAGUUUUUCAAGUUGAUCUUAGUAAGGACAUAAAGCAUACAAUUCAAAGUGCUCUGGCAAUUUGUUACAGAAUAUAUAAAUAACAAAAGUAUGAAACGAAGGGAGCUUCGAAACAGAACAAGAAACUAUUACCCAGGAUGUAGUUGCAUUCCUACUACAUGGAACAAAUUAAUUAUCAGCAGCAGCUUCAGCAGGUGUUUUGGUGGUCAUCUGGUCAACAGCAUGCACCGUGCUCUGAAGCUCUUCCCAUAUAGCUUUGUAGACCAUUCUCUGCCUGUUUACUGCAGAUUGUCCCUCAAAAGCUUUUGAAACUACGUCAAUGCUACAUCACAACCACGAAACUGAAUGUAAGCAUCAUUGCCAAAUUUCAGUCACAAAGGUUAGACAUUAAAUAAAAACAUAUGCUAUUAUAGAAGAAACACCUAUGAACCAAUUGGAAGCAAGUUCUGACAUUUAACUAAGAAGAUUGCAGCAUACAUAUGAAAAGUACUUGUACAGGAAUAUGUGAAAGAAAGACGUGAUAUAUUCAUAUCCGCCACUAAUUAUUACUUGUCUCCAACAUGCUCUGAACAAGAAGAAACUGUAGAAUGGUAAUGUGAGCAUCAGUCUCCAUGUAAGAAAGUAUGGUUAAUUUCUAAUCAUUAAGAAGAAGAAAACAUAAAGUUAGUAUCGAACUGAAAGUCUGUCAAAUGCAGAGACUCACUUAGAACGGUGAUGUAGAGCAGAAUUACCACCAUUCUGUUAGAAUAAACAAUAAGAAAACAGAGUUCUGAUGUUCAAUUGCUUGAAUAAUAUAGUCUUGCAUAAGCUCACAGAUACAGAGGCACGUAAAAGCAUCUUACAAUAUCCUAAUUAAACAUAUUGUGCCACAAGAAGUGAACAUAUGUUUAUGAACUGUAGACAACAUCAUACCCAUGAAGUUCUUAUAUUUUUUGCUAGUUGAGUUACAUAAGUCAGCUUAAAAUAUUAGAAAGAAGACCGAAAUGCAGAUCUUUUGUAUUUGAUAUCAAGGAAGCAAACAGACCUGACAUGUCGACCAUCACCAUAAGCAUCCUUGACAAUAACAACAUCAGCUUCCAAUUGCUCCUUGAUCUGCCAAAACCAGAAGAAAAUCAGUACUUACCCAAAAAAAGAGAGAUUUUUAAAGCAAAUAUUAGAUUAUCGAUGAUUUAAAAAUUAAAGAAUCACCAGCCAUACCAAGAUGAUGAUGAUGAUGAUGAUGUAGAUGUAGUGUUAUAGAACGUCCAAAAACGCCAAUCUAAAUGAGAUAUAGAAAGAGGAAAAAGGAGUGUCUCCAUUAACUACACGUGAUAGACUUAGGGCUUGUUUGGUUCAUCCAUUUUGGGUAUGGAAUGGGAAUCCGUUUAAUCAAAUCCGGUUAAUUUUGUUUGGCUCGCAUGAAUCGGUUUGGGAUUCCUAUUCCGGACUGGAAUGGGAAUGGCCUAUUAGCCUUCAACUUGAUUCCGGUCUUCUAGCCCGGAUUGAGAUUUCAUUCCGGAAGCCCACUAAGUUCUCGAAGCCCAUGUGACCAUCUCACCCUCCUUCUCUUCACCCCUUUCUCAUCAAAAAAAAAAAAUAAAAAAAUAAAAAAUUAUCCUCUCUCAAAACCCUAUCCCUAACCCACAUCAAUAAAAGUUUUUAAAAAUAAAUUUGAUAUUUUUUUUGGAAAACUUAUUAGAGAAUAGUAUUAUAUUUUUCAUAAAUUUUAAAUAAUAUAAAUUUAUAUUUGAGAGUAAAAUUAGUAUUAUAGUAUCCUAUAAUUUUUUUAGUUUAUACGAACCAAACAAUAAAAUGUGAAUAACUCAUUCCAAUUCCCAAUCCACAAAUAAACCAAACGUCUUGGGGGAGUGGGCCAUUCCAAUUACCAUUCCAAUUCAUUUCCAUUCCAUUAUCCAUUCCAAUUCCACCCUUGAACCGAACAAGCCCUUAGAGAGACUAAUGAUUACUCAAACACACAACUACAGUGAGUUAAUAUGGUGCGUGGUAAGCUAAAACGGGGCACUACUUUAAUCAUGUUUAAAGCAUCAUCAGAUUUUUAUUCACUAUAAGUAACAGCAAGCAAACAGAUUUCUAAACUAUGCCAUUACCUCAAUAUUUAACAGCAUGCCACCAGGUUCCUAGAUUAUGGGAAAUGCUUGUGUUCAGAAAUAUAUUUUAAGAUGGAAGGAAAUUUGAUUUGUAUUUUUUGUAUUUGCAUAUUCUAGUUGUGAGGGCUUAAUCCUAUCUUCUCUAUGGAGUAGUGCCACAUUCUUAUAUUAAUGUUUUACAAAGUUCUUCCUUACUGUCAACUUUCAACCAAAAAAUACAUAGGAUCUUGAAAUUUGAGCCCCUACACAUAAGGGCCCUCUCUUCUGUCCUACUCUAGAUUUAGUACUCCGAAUAUGCUCAUUUCUCUUUGUUUUCAACCUUUUUUCUGAAUUUUUCUUUGUCCCACCUCUUCAUUGCCUUUUCUUUUCCAAUUUUUCCACCAUAUUGAUGAAUACAGACAAGCAGCAACUAGGAAACCCAUCUAACUUCUACUAGCAAACUGCCCCGACCAACUCCGAAGUCCAAACCUCUAUCUAUGGAGUCAAACAAAGGGCCAUCAGAGAAUAUAGACAUUAAUUGGUCGAAGCAUGUCCCCUAUAGACAUAAAAGUCUUAACUGGUUAGAUCAAAACAAAUUAGGCUCGAUCUCAUGUUGAUGAAUAUAUGCACGAUUUAGGUGAAGAUUAGGAUUUUUUUAGAAUAAGGUCAUAGGUCAUAAAGGAAAUAAGCUUUCUCUUAAAAGUCCCAUUUUUAAUCUGAGAUAUAUUUGGAAUUAGUUCAUAAUAAACAUCAUCUUAAAGUCCCAUUUUCCCAAAAAAGUCCAAAACCUUUCAAAUGCAAAACAAUUGUCACCCUCAGAGUUUACACUUUACAGUUGUGUAGACGCAUCAAAGAUUACGAUUAGCCCUAAAUGACUCCAUUAAAAAACGAAGCAACGAUCUAGCUCCAUUCAUAAACAAGAGAAGCCUUUCUCAACAUAUUAACAGGCCUUCAAACGACUAUCCAUCCCACAUCCCUACCAAGUGUUUGAAUUUUCCGAGAAGGGAUCGAGAGAAAAGGAAAAGACCAUGACAUUUUGAAGCAGAUUUCAGAAAGUUAACAUGACAUCGUGACACACCGUACAAGUGGUUACCCAGAAGAAUAUAAAACCAGCUACUACAGUCAUCUAAUUUUCAAGCUUUUACAAUCCCAUAGAUUCUGCAAUCAAAUGGCUAUUGAACUAUCUUCAUUAGCGUUGAUCAGUAUAGUUCUUCUGACAAAGUAGAAAUUCGGUCAGAUUGAGGAUCCUAACGGAUACUUAGUAGAGGACCAAUUUUAUCAGGUGAAUGAAGACGAGCAAAAGGGGAUAGAAGAGAGAGAGAGAGAGAGAGAGAGAGAGAGAGAGAGAGAGACCUUAUUCUCCAUGGCCUGCAUCAUGGGGGAGUUGAUGGAGCCCGAGUCGGAGACUUGCGUGGCCCUUACGCUGCAGAGGCGCCUCACCAGAAAGGGAGGGGGAGAUGGGAGAAGAACCCUCCUCCCUCGAAACGAGGAGGAGGAGAAGGAGGACGAGGAGGAGGAGGAAGGGGAUGCUGCUAAUCUUAGGGAAGGAGCAGCAGCAGCAGCAGAAGAGGAUUGUCUGGCGGGGUAGAGGUGAAAGAGAGAGGCCAGCGGAUAAUAAUAAGAGGAGGAGGACGAGAAAAAUGAGUACGAGGAUGGCCUCAUCGCCAGCGCUGCCGGAGCUCUCAUCCGCCCCCGCCCUCGCCCGUUCGAUCUGCCUCUCGGCUAUGGCCUAUUGGCGACGACGACUGCUUGCUGGCUUGCUGCUGGUACUCCCGCAAAUCCCGAGGAGGAAAAUGAGGGAGCGGACGGGCUCGAUCCCAGUUCCCAGCAAAACUGAUGCGAUCGGGGUUGGAUUAGGCUAGAGUCGGAGUCGUUGGGCCCUUUCAAAAUCGAUCGGGCCGGAUUUCUCCCCCGCCCCCCCCACCCGUUUAGCUCUCACCAUUCAGUCAUUCACCAACUCAUCAACUUCAUCCGCCACCACGCUGUCAAUUUAGCCCAUCAGUUCGAGACCUAUAAAAUCACCCAGCUGUUUAAUAAAUUAGAGAUCCGAGAUUGAUUCAAAGCGGCCAGGUCGGGUCGAUCGGAUUGAGCCUGUAGUUUCGGAUGAACUUUGCCACCCCUAACUGAGUCUGAGGGGUGUAUAUAUUUUAUAUUAUUUUAUUAUAUUAUUAUUAUAUCCAUUAAAACUAAUGGUUUUGUUAACCACUAACAGUUAGGAAAUAUCAUCGGCCGAAUAAAAAUUGAACCAAAUUAUCAUUGGUUUUCGACAAAGUUUUUAGUCUAACUGACAAACUUAAUUUAGCUAAAAAUUAAAAAUUGUAAAAAAUCACUAAAAGAACCUCUUUUAAGUCUUAGGGCCUUGAACAAAAGACAAACCAAAAAAAAAAAAACAAAAAACAAAAAACAAAAAGGCCUCCGCAAAGAUUAUCCUGUUAGAAGAACACCUAUUACGCUGUCGUGCGGAUCAAAGCCAUGGCUGCAAAGCACGCGAUUACUGUUGCUGUACGUAUCCAAAGUUAGCAGCGAAACAAUAUGUAGAUCCUGAAAAAAAAAAAAAAAAAGAACAGAAGUGAAAAAUGUAUACAAACUGGGCCUGAACUAUAUAUGCAGCAGCCAUGCUUGCAUUUUCUGCAGAUUCCUGAACUUCACAAAUUUGAAUUUUACUAUAUAUACAUGUAUUUUAUAAUAUAUUAUAAAUUAAACUUCAAACCAAAUUUAAGUCUUUCUAACUAUCUUGACGGAAUAUUUUGUAAUUGAUUAAUACAAUGCUGCACUACUUGAUGAAAUCUUCCACAAGUUCUUUGAUAGAAACAGACAUGUACGUCUAGUCAAAUUUGUUAAAGUUUUCUACACAAUUUUAAAAAUCAAAAUCGAUGUAAUGUUCAAUUGCGAAAUUUAUAUUUUUUAGAAUUCAGAUGUCCGUCUAAAAAUAUGGACUAGCUCAGAUAACACCUUUAUUUUUUUUUCUGAUAAAAAAACUGGUGGAUAUGCAAGAUAUAGGACAGUAUAUUGUACAUUUGUAGCACCAGUCAUCAAAUAUAUAGCACCACAUUUGGAAGUUCAAAAUAAGGUCGAGUGCUAUCAAGCAAGUGGUUAAUACCUCGGUUAUUCUAUAGGAUGCAUCAACCUCAAAAAUUUCGUUCUUAAGCAAGAAUUAAACAUAAUUAAGCUAGAAUUAAAUCACAAUUACGCAUAGGAAGUGAAUGUCUGAAUCAAGUACAACCUGUAUAUAUUCUUCGUGGUUGUCUUUCUCAUUCAUGAGACAUGCGUAUAUAUGGUUGCAAAUAAGUCUGGAUAAGUACAAAGUCUAUUCCUUUAAUUUCCUUGUGGUUGUCUUUCUCAUGCGUUCAUGCCAAACGCGAGGGCAGGCACUCUUUUAUGCUGGCUGUCGUGAGCGGCAUUAUUGGCAGGGUCUUGCAUUAUUACCGGAUUAUACCUUGUUGCUUGCCCCCUGGUCACUUCAGAGAACAAAUAUAUUCUUUGGACCCUACAUAGGUAUAUUUUGUGCGUUGAAUUGGACGCGUACUGAUAUUGAGCCAUGCAUAUAUAUAUAUGUGAUCUGCGAUAGACGUAAAGAAAAUUAAUACGCGAGCAUAGCAAGUUAUAGUGACAUUUUUGGCAGGCAAGGAGAUGAAUUGAUUGAGAAGAUUUUUUGGUUUACAAUAACAGAAUAGCUAGCCACCAGUCUUUUUCGCUGAGCCGUAGGAAUAUGUGCUACUACAUUACUGUCAGCUGUUUGUUUUCUCCACUAUCCAACUUUAAGCACUGCUGGCUGGCCCUUCCCAGCAGGAGGCUAUAAAUCAGCAGCAGCCUCCGAAUGAAUGUUGUGUGCUAAUUAUAAUUUAGCGAAGCCAGCUGAUCGAGCUAAUUAUUAACUCUCCGAGAGAUCGGAGAGAGAGAGAGAGAGAGAGAGAGAGAGAGAGAGAGAGAGCUCGGUCGACUAGUUCAGAUUAACUGAUCCAAUUUACUUAAUUAAGUAAUGGCGUCGAUGAAGGCCAAUAAACCUCAAGUCCAGUCUUCACAAGCGCAGGCAACAAAGGCGCCACCGCCCCAAGUUAAAGCUGCGGCAGCAAAGCCCACUCACAAGAAGGUGGUGCAGAAGCCACAGGAGACAAAGGUGCUACGUACCUCCUCCUCAUUUAUUAGCUAAUUUAAUUAUUACAGCACUCAAAUCUUUAAUUGUGUGCAUGCAUGAAACAAAUUCAUAAUUAUUUUUCUAUUUUCUCAAGGCAGAGACACAUAUAUAUUAAACUUGUCUGCAGAUUGCAUGUAUGAUUGAUUAGUUAUGAUGCAGGUUUCAAGUGUUAAACCUGCAGCUCCACAUGCUAAAUGAGAUUCGUCUCGCCAGCACCGAAGUUGAUGACUUCUUACUAUAUAUAUAUAUAUGUGUGUGUGUACAUGGGCUGUUAUUACGUACUUAUAGAAUAACAAAGCCCUAGCUGUGUUAUUUGAAUGUGAUCAUAAAGUAAGAUUGUAAGAUUAUCGCGUAUGGCUUGAUGUGCCUUGUAAAAGCGUGCACGGUAUAACUAUGGAGUAAGACUACUAGUUUGUGAAAGUGACAUGUGUGUAUUCUCAAUGUAAUUUUUGGAUUUUUUAUAAGGUGAUUAGUUAUAACUUAUAACAGUAAGGCGGAUAGCUAGGUAGCGGCACUAGUUCUUUUCGAAAGGAAUACAUAUAUAUAAUGCUACAGUGCAACUAGUAGAUUGGAAAUUCUUGCUCGCAAUUUACGGAACAAUCCGAUUUAAUCAUCAACAAUUUCUUUCGGCAGUAAAAUCAUAAGUUUCAAAUUUCAAAUUAAAAUUUCUAUUUAUAGUUCUCAAUACCUAAUCUAUGCAUUCACUGCAAUACAGAUUUUGGAUUUCUUUUUUGUCUUUCUUUUUUUUUUUUGCCUUAAUUUUUUAAAAAAUUUUACUGCUGGAAGUAGGAGAAGACUCAAAACUAAAUAUAUAUACUGAGUUUAAUGAAAUAAACAGGUAAACAUGUAUUGCCCUAGGGGUUAAUCGACUGUAUUGCCCCCUACUUCUCAACAUUCUCAACAUUAAAAUAAAGGACUUGGUGGUUGGUACCCGAGAUCUAAGUUCGAAUCCUAGUUGAUUUACAUUUCCAGCUAAAUUUAUUUUUAAAUAAAAUAAAUGAAACGGGUAGCAUGCUAUCUAUUUUUAAAAAAAUAUUGAACCUUCUAGGUCUUUAACUGCACAUGCUCUCUGCUCUCUACUCCCUAGUUUGUCUCCUUUUACUUGGAAUAUUAUUUCUGUACCGGAAACCCUAUGCUAGGAAUAUUUAAUUUUUGCUAUCACAAUUAUUCCAUGUUGGAAUCAAUCAAAUAUCUCUGCUUUAUAUGAAAGUACAAUAACAAAUAUUUUUUAAACUAUCAUUUCAAUACACAAUAUAUCCUAUAAGAAGCGUGCCUGUUACAAAAAAAAAAGAAAAAAGACUGAUUUAUAAUUUAUAAUAUAUAGUUAAGCCCUGCCGAUCUCAAACCCCUUCCCCUUGCCUCUCUCUCUCUCUCUGGAGAAAUCUGGAAUUUACCCUGCAUGAUCGUUUGCAUUGGACCUUACCGAUAUGUCAAACUCAGAAAGAAAUGGCAGAUAUACAAGUAGAAUAAUGUAUGCGCUUUUAUGAUGUUGAAUGUCCCACAUAUCCUUUCUACUUAUGGAAAAAAAGAAAGGAAAAACUUUAAAAAUUCUCCUAUGAUUUCAUAUUUUUUUAUUUUAGUACCCUGUGGUUUAAAGUGUAUCAAGUUAGUACCUUGUCGUUUCUCACUUUAUCACUUUAGCACUCUGUGGUUUAAAGUGUAUCAAGUUAGUACUCUGUAAUUUUACACUUUAUUACUUUAGUACCAUGUGGUUUCACACUUUAUCACUUUAGUACUCUAUGGUUUAAAAAACCACAGGAUACUGACUUGAUACAAAAUUAAAACCACAGGGGUACUAAAGUGAUAAAGUGCAAAACCACAUGGUACUAACUUUAUAUACUUUAAACCACAUGAUACUAAAGUGAUAAAGUGAGAAACCAUAGGGUACUAACUUGAUACAUUUUAAAUCACAGGAUACUAAAGUAAAAAAAAAUUGAAAUCACAAGAAGAUUUUUGAAGUUUUCCCAAAAAGAAAAGAGUUAAUAGUAAGUGUUCCGCCCGUUGCUUUUGACAAUGCAUCAAAUGAAUAGGAACUGAGUAUAAACUCACUCUCCAACUCACUUUCCAAACUCACGGCACAUUGGUAGUCGUACACACAAAUCACCGUUUACGAUAGUUCUAACCAUUCGGCCGUUCUUCCUAACUGUAGCAUUCUUGCAAAAAGUCAUCUAAUAUUUUAAAUUAAAAUUUAUUAAUAUAAAUCAUUCAUUUAUAUAAACAAUCUGUCCAUUCCCUAUUUCAUUCUUGACAAAAAAAAAAUAAUUAUUUAACAUUAAAAUUUUUGAAUAUUGAUAUGUAGGCUUAGUCUGGUAAUAUGCUAGCCUAAGUUGCUAUUUUUGUAUUUAUAAAAGAUCUAACAAAUUUAAAAGUACUUUAGAAUUUUUUCUCUUUCAAUACUAUAACAAUGGUCUCAAUUGUCACCGAUCUAAUGGCGGUUACAACCGUAAUUUCAUAGUGUGUGCAUAUAAAUAUAUAUUAAACCUUCAUAAUAUAAAAGUGGUACUUGGCACCAUCACAAUGCUAAACUAGGCUGUAAUAUAAUUGAAGUUUAAGGGGCCACUGUAUUAUAAUUGAACUUUACGGGUCCAUUGUAGGAUAAUCACUCGUCGAUGGUAGUUAGAAAACAAAAAUCAAAUUAGAUUAAAAUAAAUUGACUGUUGAUAUAGAAAAUCUUUACCUUUUCAAACUAUAAGCGACCAUUCUUUUUCUUUCAAAAAAAAAAAAAGAAAAAGAAAACACCCUUUUGAGUAUUGAUUUACUAUUGCACCAAGGUAGAAGUGAUUUUUCACUUCUCCUAAAUAGGGAAAAAAAAUUACUAAACCAAAUGGUAACCAUACAAAGAGCGAGAAGAAUCUAACUGAUGGAGGGCAACAUGGGGCUGGAGCCCAUUCCAGAGCCUCCAAAGGAACCGGGCUCCGCAUGCUUGACUCUCCCAUAGCGUCGGAUGUGACGAAGGAGCCUGGCCAAGAAGGUGUUGUGGCAAAUGGUUGAGCUGUCGCAGACGACAGCAACGUGCUUGCGCGCCCUCGUUACCGCCACAUUCAUUCGCCUGCUGUCGCCCAAGAAUCCAACCGCUCCUAAUGUGUUCGAUCGCACCUACAUGCAACAUUCAUCAUGUGAAUAACUAAAUGAUGAUAAUUAAUACCUGCGCAAGUUAUCGGCACAAGUCAAAGCUUAUAUAUGUAUGUGCUUUAUUUGCAAAAUUAUGUGGGCGAGGUACCAUUGAUAUGAUGACGGCAUCAGCCUCCCUUCCUUGAAAGCUGUCUACAGUUGCAACCUCAACGCCAGAAGCUUCUGGAUAUUCAUCAAGCCUGUCCCUCAACAACUGCACCUGAGCAAUAUAAGGUGAUUGAACCGCAAUGGCCGUCGGAGAGACCCCUAUACAGAAUAAAAUACUUCAUUUAGUAAUUAAUGCAGCUGAAUGGUUUUAAUGUAUUACAUGGCAAACUAAUUUGUCCUAAGGCUGGUCAUAUAUGGCUUAGAAAGAGAGAGGAAUAUCAUUAUUCUUGGCAAGAAAUAAAAAUCAGAAAAAGAUGAGGUUAUUUGUAACAACAAACAAAAUAGACUCUUACGAUGUUAAGGCCCUAUUUGGAUGCACUGCCAGAAAACUCUACGGAGUUUAUAUUCUGUGGUUUAAGUCUGACUAAAAUAGAAAAUCAUGUAACCCAAUUCUAAAAGUUUGAGUAAAUUUUAUUUUAACCCUACUUUUUGGUCCAUACAGUAACUAUCUUUUCAGGUGUCUACUUAAAGCAGCCAAGCACCUUAUAACAAAGUUUUUUAGGAACACAGAAUAGUUAUACCAGUCUUUGCUUUAUAAUGCAUCCAAACAUGGCCUAAUAAGAGUAUAAGAAAUAUAGUCACAAAUACCACCCACACAAUAUAGAAGAUCCUGAAAAUAAUUACUGUACAGAAAUUACAACUUUUCAAUUGAUGUAGAAACUCACGACAAAUGGUAUCACGUCAACAUCAAGAUAUGGUAGAUAAUGUUCUACUAGGGUAAGCCAAUUCAAUUCAACUUAUUUUAGUCAAUGCUUUUUUGUGAUACUCCCAGCAGCUGCUGAAUCAACUCAUCUUCUCCGUCCCAAAUUCAAAAUCGACGAUCUUUGCUAAAACCAAGAGUUGACAGGCCAUUUUUAAAUGAGUAUGUAUAUUUUUUUUUUUUUUUGUGUAUGCUGACACUGAUGUUGGCAGAUAGAGAAUUACAUAUUAACAGUUAAUAUUUAAUUUUAGGGAAAACUUCAAAUACCCCUCUUGUGGUUUCACUCUUUCUCACCUUAGUACCCUAAGGUUUAAAGUGUAUCAAGUUAGUAUUCUGUGGUUUCGCACUUUCUCACUUUAAUACCAUGUGGUUUAAAGUGUAUUAAGUUAGUACCUUGUGGUUUCGCACUUUCUCACUUUAGUACCAUGUGGUUUAACAUUUUAUUAAGAGAAAAAUAAAACCACAGGGCACUAACUUGAUACAAAAAUAAAACCACAGGAUACUAACUUGAUACAAAAAUAAAACCACAGAGUACUAACUUGAUACACUUUAAACCACAGGGUACUAAAAUGAGAAAGUGCGAAACCACAGGGUACUAACUUGAUACACUUUAAACCACAGGGUACUAAAAUGAGAAAGUGCGAAACCACAGGGUACUAACUUGAUACACUUUAAACCACAGGGUACUAAAAUGAAAAAGUACGAAACCACAGGGUACUAACUUGAUACACUUUAAACCACAGGGUACUAAAAUGAAAAAGUGCGAAACCACAGGGAGUGUUUUUGAAGUUUUCCCUUAAUUUUAUCAAGAAAUUUGUUACUGUAACUAAUAUUUGUACAUUCUCAAGCAAGCAUCUCUAAUUUGUUCAUCAAAAAGACAAUGCUGCAAGCAAUCCAAAAGUAGAGUAAAACAAAUUACAUAGAAUUUGAUCUAAAAUAGUAAAGCAAACACUUGAAGAACAAUGUUGGGCAUGAAAUCUGAAUUUUAACCUACUUCAAAUCCAUAGAUAAUGUUCAAUCUGACUUAUCUUCAUAAGAUUCAUCUCUAUCCAGUACCAAGACUGUAACGUCCUAAUAGUUCCACACUGGAUGAAAAGAUAAUUGUGUAUGAGAAUAUAAGGACCAAGAGCUCUAGUAAUAAUAAUUAAGCUUAAGUAUUUUGGGCCAUUGGUUUGAGCCUAACAAAUUAUUACUGCUAGUGGGCUAGAUCGUUACAAUGACCCCUCUUCAUGGAAUUAGUCAACCUAUCUAUUGUGCGGAUGCUCUAAAUUAUCCAGUAUAUAGCAUGUAAAAUUCAGUAAGUCUCAUAUCCAAUGACAUGAGUUAUUUGCAUACACCCAGAAUAAUGAAAUAUUCAUUUCUUCGCAAAGAGCACGUGCAUACAAAAGAGGAAUACAUAGGUUAAAGAGGAAGAGAUGUAUACCAGAAUAAAUAAGAUUAAAAACGUGUUGCACAACUAUGUCAGCUUCACCUUCAUUGUAAAAAGAUCCUGUGCCAGCGGGGUCCAAAUGCUCCUCACAACCAACAUAUAAGCUGCCAUACGGCAUUCGCGUAUCAAGUAAGAGCAGAGGGCAUUGAGUUAUCCACGUAACCUGAUCAAAACCAAAUUAUGUGAUUAGAAAUCUACAAUAAAUUUCUCUUCAAAAAGUUUGAUAAAUGAUAUUACACCAUAUCAAGUUUUAACAUGUUUACAGAUUUGUUCCUUACGAAUCUGCUAGGAGAAUGAGUUAUAACAGAAGAUUAAGCAUAUAUAAUUACUACAUAUUGGCCUAGAUGGCGAAAGCUUUGCAAAAAAGUGUGGUCGGACAAUGAAUUGUGACUAGCCUUGUAUAUUGUGUUUUGAUCUUAUGUGUGAUGGUGUCAUGCAUUGACUGAGAAAUCUCGGACUUGCAAAAUGAUGAAGUUUAUAUGGUCCGGGGCUUCAAAAUCAAGCUUCUAACCCAUGGUCACAAGCUAGAAUUUUUUAUUGUUCACGCUAUCUGUGAGAUAGUACCCAGAGUACUCGUCCUUCAUGCAGUAGAUGAGUAAAAUUUACCUGACAAGGAAAUUUCACAACCUAAGGAUUGCUAUAGUUACAAAGAAUGUCCCAAAGUAAACUGAUCCUUAUUAAGAGUCAUGAAAACAUGCAGAUCUCCUUAUUAAGCCACUACCACUGAGUUUGUUAGCUUCAUUCCCAAAGGCAUGAAAGAUCACAUCCUCCUCCCACCGCUUAGGUGCUGACAAAUUCAUUCUCUAGCUUACUCCAAUCGUGGUUCUUUCACCAUUCUCUGCCUGUGCCAUGCACGAUAAUCUAACAUUGAUAAGCAUGAUAAGUUGAGCAAAAGGGCAGGAUCUUGAUGGUCUUGUUAAGACAGACACUAUUGUGUUGUUUCUUCUCAAUUCAAUCUUUUCUGGUAACAUGCUACAUCCCAAAGUUCCCACCAUUCUCUGAGGUCGUGUGUUCAAUCUCAUCAUAAACAAAUUUGGUGGUUAAACUCCCACUAAAUAAAUUGCAAAGUUAUCCCCCAAACUCAUUAUUUCACUUUGAACAAUAUUCUUUUAAAGUGAACUUAUUGCUCCCUAAACUUCUAUAAAUGUAACAAAUUGGCCCAUCCUGUCAUGUGUCAUAAGUCUAAUGAUGACAUGAAUGGCACAUAAACAGUUUCUGUAACCUAUGCACCAAAGGCCCCAAGUAGAGCUUAGAGUUUGACAACUGACAAUAUGAGCCCAUUUCAUCAGCUGCAGUUAACAGAUAUAUUUUCAGAUUGAAAGCAACCUUUUGGUACUAUUUUUUCAACCAAAAAAAGAAGGCGUUGACCAAGUCACACAUCGUCUUUCCAUCAAUGAACUUAACAUCAAAUGGCAAAAUGAGUCAAUUGAUAUAUCUAUAGAAGCUCGGAGGUUGUUAAAUUAACUUUAAAAGAAUGGGAAGUGAAACUUUUAUGAAAGUUCAGAGGCUAACAAUGCAAUUUAUCUAAUUCUGCCCAAACUAUAUUGCAAGUUAAGUCCCGUCGCUUGUCUCAACUCUCAUCAAUGUGCCUUUCAUAUCCAUCAUGCAUGUGUGAAAAGAAGGUGUCAUGACUAACAGUCGUCAUUACCAUCAGAUUGAUCUUUCAUGUAAAGAACACAACUGUAUUAUCGAUGGUAUUGAAAAAUUUUCAACCUAAGUGGUGUGAAUCCUACACCAAGCUAUGCAAGUGCUGCAUGGUUCUUUAAUAAAGCAAAGAUAUAAGUAGUCGUCUAGGAGACUAGGACAUUAUCAGAAAAUUGUAUUGGUACAUUAUAUGAAAUAACCGUUGUUUUCCAAAAGCUUAAGCUAUCAGAGAACGAUGUUUUUAAUAUUUAUACUCAAUACUUUUCCUUCCUCCUCGACUAGAGACUUUUAAUAGGCACGGGACAUGGAUUUGAAUUAAAUAGAAGUAAAUUACAUAGUGCUACGUGCCUAAUGAGACUCGAAUUCAAGACCUCUUGGUCUAAACCAUGUUAAAUUAUAUGAAACAAUUAUUGUUUACCCAAAAGAUUAAGCUACUAUAUAGCAGUGUUUAUUAAUAUUUAUAUUCAAUGUGUACAAUAAAAACUAGAAUAUAGUACCUCUGACUAGAAUAUUAAAACUCUUUUUUUGGAAGCUUUCUAACUUUAUUAAGUAUUUUUUUACAACAAAAAGGCAAAUGCACGUUAGGAUAGCCCAAAUAUAGAUACAAAUAGCCCUCUCCUGUGACAAUGAGGUCUAUUUGAAUAUAAAAUCGAAACUAGGAAAUCGUGCCAAUUGUACUACCUAAAACUUCAUGAUCACCAUUUGAUAGAAGAUGUUUUAUUGUACACCACACAUCUUGAGGAAUAUCUUUCUCCCAAGAGAAGCAAGGUUGAUGGUUCAGGAAGAAAGCAGAGCAAUGUCUCAAAUUGAAUAUGGACUACUAAGUACUAAUGGAACUUAACAAGAGGAGUUGGUCAUAACAAUAGAACCACACACAUGCUAGUUGAUAACCAAAUCAUUGGUUUACUCCAUCGAAGGAAGAGCAUACUAAAAUAGAUAAUAUCAUCUACCACAUUGUCAUAACCAACUAACGAGGGAGUAUGAUGCACUGUAUUGUUUGAUGAUCUACUGGUUUCCUAAGCAUUUAAGCAGCUGAGGUUGCAUGCUGAAUUCCAAGUUUAGCGUGAAAAGAUUUAUGCACCAGCUAAAUACAAUAGGUUAAGGCAUUAGUAAGAUACUAUUAAAUGUUAGAAAGCAUACCUUCACAAAUGGAGAAUCGACAAGAAGAUGCGACGAGACGGUUGGAGAAGACUUCAACAAUCCUUCAUACAUCUCUUUUGAUGCCCAACUGGCUAUUGCAUCAUGCAUUCGGUAUUGAAUCGUCAAUCUUGUGGUUAGCCAACCAUCAUGUAGAGCUGACGCUCUUUCCAAGAGAGACAUACCAAGACCACCUUCCAGAGCCUUUCUGGACAAAAUAACUGGUGCAAGCUGACACUGAUCACCUGCCAAUAUGCAGCGCUUCCCUUGCAAAAUGGGGAUCCAGCAUGAUGGUUCAAUUGCUUGCCCCGCCUCAUCUAUAAUGACCAGAUCAAAGCUGUCCAGUCUUCGGAUGACGGGGUCAGCUGCUCCAGUAUUAGUCGAUAGGACAACCUGGGCAUUUGACAACACUUCUUUUAUGGUUUCUUUCUCUUUCUUCUUCAAAGUCUUCCCAAGCUGUUUUAAGAGUUGACGGAUACCUGCUGCUAGGGAGUCAUCCUUUAAGCAAAGCCUGAGGUCCUUUCUUAAAUCCGAUUUUUUCCUCUCAAACUCUUUCUUAAAAUCUGAAAGCCUGUUGUUAACUAUUUCUUCUAGAGAUUUUGAAGACACGGUUGAAGAUAUACGGGCAGGAUUUCCAACACGUACAAUAUUCAACCAAGAAUCAUAGAGUCUCUCAACCAGAUUAUCCACAGCUGCAUUCGUAGGAGCUGUUACAAGUACACGCUCACCUUGCUGGACAGCAAGGGUUAUUAGUUCCUUCAAUAAUCUAGUCUUGCCAGUACCAGGAGGUCCUUGAAUUAUCAGAAGAGGCCGCUUCUUAUUCAAGCCUAAGGCAAUAGCUUUUAAUUGGGAGUCAUCAAACUUUUCCUUCUUUACUAGUCCAUCAAGUUUUGACUCACCCCAUUCGAUGAGAUGAUUCUGCUCAAGCCACAUAAUGUCUUCCUUGUCCCCAAAGAGAGAAGCCACCACAGCAAUUGAAGGAUUUCUUUUCUGUAAACCAUUCUUCUGGAGAAGCAUUAAUGCUUCACAGUUGCGCUGCCAAAUCAAAUGUUGAAAAGAACAAGAUAAGUAAAUCAACUACAAGGGAAACCAGCAUGACCCUGUUUUAAUUGUUCUGAUAGACUUAAAUAUGCAACUUUUGAAUUUGUAGACAGCAUUCCAAUCACCUUACGAGCACAACUGAACAAAACAUCUAUUUCUACACAAAAUUCAACUUGGAUAACUCACUUCUCAUUAUUCUAUAGAAUUUUUCACUGUUCAGAUAUAACAAGGCAUCUAGAGGAUAAUAAAGGUAUGGAAAAUGCAACAAGAUUAAGUGUUACAAAGUCAUCGUCUCGGGCAUGAUUAAAUAAAUUACAAAGAGAAGUUCCUUAUAGCAAGAUGUAAUGCAAAGGAGAUAGAUAUUAGUCUUCAAGUAGUUUGAGACUAUGGUAAAGCUGUUUUUCUAGAGUAGUCAUGAUUAACUAAUGACUCUUUCAGAUCGAUGGGAUAACCUUGUUCCCUAAUGCAGAGAUUCAAUCAUGCAAAAGAAGUUUAGUAGAAGUAACAGCAAAACCAAAUAGCACUACACAAAGCAACUAAAUCUUGAAGCUAUCUUCAACAAUCUGAAAACUAGGGCUUUAUCUAAGUGAGGAUGUAUGAAGAUUGCACUGUUUGAAUACCUCAUAUGUAAGUGAAUCUGCCAGUCCUUGUAUACGGUCGAUGCGGAUGCUCUUCCCAAAUAGCUUAGAGAAGGUAGGAUCACCAUGGCGAGACUCAAGAGCCACAGUGAUGCUACGACCAUCCUCACCUAAAUUAUAAACAAAACCUUGCAUGCAAGAUGUCGCUCCUGCACCUGAGCUAUUGCAUGUUCUCACACAAAUCAUGUCCCCUGGAGAAAGAGUGGUUGGGGGCAAUCUAUUGUUACCUUCAACUUUAAAUAGGACCAAGUGCAGACCUCCCAAACCUGCAGGCAUUUUACGACACAAAACAUUUUGCAGGGAUUUAAUAACAACAGUUUUCCUAGAGCUACUGACAAUCUUCCACUUUGCGAGAGUAAAUAUAUGCCAGAAUAUCAUGAAUAUUGAAGCCACCAUUUAUGAUUUAUCUGGAGAAGAAACUUCCAUUGAUUAGUCUUUGGCAAAAAACAUUUACUACUAUUUUCUUACCAUAGGAAAAAAAAAAAAAAAGUAAAUCAAAUCAUAUCCAAGAACCUAUUUUUGGCAUCUAUAUGCAAGUGAGUGGUCGACUCAUCAGUCAAGCAUGUAACACUUUGUGUUUCUAGUUUUCAAGAAAACAGAUUUAUGUGCUCAACUGAUACUAUAAUUGGACAACAAGUCACAACGGACAAUGUACUUCAGAUUCCAGAGAAUAGCAAUAAAGAAAUCAUAGGUUGAUCUAUAGAUAAUAACUCAAUGAGGUCAUGUACUAGUAAGAGAAAAACUUUCCUCAGGGACCACCAACUUACAGUGAGUACAGUCCAUGAAAGCUCCACCGUCAUAUAAUUUUUUCUUUUUUUUUCACAAUUAACUUUUGUCUGAUGAAAGAUUUGUAAGUUUGAAAGCUAGCAGAAACAGUGAGCUUACCAGUUGAAGAGCUAAUCACAUUCAAAUUGCAAAUGGUGUCGCAUUGCUCUUGCUGUGCCUGCCCAUGGCUCACCAAAUAUUCAAUCGGUUUAAGCAAGUCAGAAUUACUCUCUGGUGUCGGAACUGCAUUCAGCUCUUCUUGAGUGAACUCCAGCUCCGCAUCCCGCUCUAUGCGAAGAAGGUCUGACAUCUGCUUCACAAAGUCUUCAAUCUUUUUCAGCAUUACUUUAGCUUUUUUCAGCUCUAUCCCAAGACCACUAUGCACUGCCUUACUCUGGGGAGUCUUUCGCACUGCCGCUCGAUGCUGUGCUGCAAAUGAAAACAGUCAAGCAUAAUUUCAUUAAUAACAGUGGCAAAUGAACACGCCAAGUGUAAUUACAUUAAUAACAGAUAAGGGAAAGAAAGGGCCACAAAAUCAGCAAUCAUGAACAUCAGGUUGAGGCAGCGCUAUGAUAUUGACUAUCCUCAAUACCACUUUAAAUUAGCCCACUGCUUGACUGGUUAAAUUCGGUUUACAUGAACAGACUUUGUCAUUUUAACUUGUGGAACUGCCGAUGUCAGUUUGAACACAAUCUCAAACCAAGCAGAUAUUACGCCAAUAUCAGGUUCCCAAUUUUAAGUAAGAACAAAAAUGUAAAAUCAUUAGUCUGAACAAUUACUAGGCAAGGGUUUUUAAUUCUAUUAUCAUAUGUUGGAGAAAAACGUAGGAAGCGGAAGGGAACCUGAAUUGGCAAAGUCUUUGAGAAGCAUCCAGGAUUGGGUGGCGCGCCAGUCGGUGAUGACGGCCUGACGCUGGAGGUCCUGGAGGACGUCCCUGAGCUCGCGCUGGAAGUGGUCAAAGAGGGUGGGGUAGUGGGUGCAGGCCUUGAAGCAGAGGGCCUCCAGGCCCUUGGGCAUGGGGACGGCGUACAGGUAGGGCUGGGCCCGGAUGACGAAGCCGAGGCCCCCAAUGCUGGCCCCGUGGCCAACGCCCAGCCGCUGGCGGAGCUCGGAGAACUCACCCUGGAGCUCGGCGGAGGCAAAGUCGGAGGCCAUGGAGCGCAUGCCCUGGCUGAUCCAGCGCACCACGCACUUGCCCAGCUCCCUCCGCCCCAGCGGAUCCCCGUUCUGGUACACCGCCCCCACGCUGAUGGACGCCUCCUCCGCCGACGGCACGCACUCCUCCUCAGAACCUUCCGCCGUGGCCGAUGCGGCUGCCUCCUCUUUCUGCUUCUUCCUCCUCUUUCUCUUGGCACGCGGUCCUGCCAGAGGAGGGGGGAGGGCAGCAGAUGCUCUCGCCCUUCCGGCGGCGGUGCGAAUGGGGAGUGAAGGAGAGAGGGGUCCCGCAGAAGAAGCGGAGUGAGAGAUACCCCCCUGCUUGUGGUUGCUGUGGACUCGGAGUUGGGAAUAAGAAGCCCGAAACCAGGAGGGCGAGGGCAAGGGCAAGGGCAUUGCCGAUCCCAAGGCGGCAGCACCACACGAGCAGCAAACGGCACCCUUCAUCUCUCUCUCUCUAUUCCACCACGCUCAUCCAACGCGAAGGAACAGAGAACAAAGAGAAGCAGGGAGGAGAGAACGAACGGGAACAAGAGGGGGAGGGGCCGCCCGAAAGCGGGACGUCCCUCUUUUCCUCUCUUUUUUUUUCAACAACACAUUACUCCGCCUUCUCGUUAUUUUCUUUUCUAUUUUCCCCGUUUUUCUGCCGAAUUUUAAAGGCUUUCUGCCGAAUUUUAUAGGCUACCGGCCUCCGGGUGGAGGCUUGUGGGCCGUGCGUCCGCGGCCAGGGAAUUUGCUACGUAGAGUUUGGAAUGACCAAUGGUUGAGUGCACAACUGGCCUGCUUGCGGAUCUUCGGCUUGCGUGGGGAUCGGAUAGACGCCCUUCGAACGUAGUGGGCCUUCGAGGAGGUUGUAUACUGGCCGCAGAAGAAACGAGAGGGAACAGAGACAUGCAUCCGACUGGCCUCACCACUUCAAAUGCGAUUCGUUCUAAUCCGACCUUUCCAGUCUGACUUGCCAAUCUGGGUAUUGCCAGCUCGAGUUACCACAUGCCAACUGAAACUACUAACUCGUUAACAACAGAGACUAUAGUUUGUGAGUUAACGCAGGCGGCGCGCCGGGUAAAAAGUCAAACAGGCCGUACUUAAGCUGGGCCGAAUGGCCCCUUAGUUCUCUUGCGAAGCACACCACAUUGCCGAGCCGAGCAGGCUCUCAGCAAGGUUUGGACCAAACCGUCUCGCAGGGUUCUUGCAGCCCAUCCAUCGUUGGGUUGGAUGCGGUACAAGGCUCGCAGGCUGCUCUCGACCAACGGCAACCGCCAUUUUGCACCGUUUUUAUUCGACUGCAUAAUGAAUGGUCGGUCUGUCGUCCCCGCAGGCCGCUGAGCUUUCCAGCGAACGCCAUUGAUCGCUACUUCCGCCUUCUCUGUCUUCCGGCCGCGCCAAUUGCAUCUUCUCUUUCUGUUUCUCUGUUUCGCGGCAAUGAUUAGAUCGCCCUGCUCGACCGCGACGAAAAGGAAGGAGGUUCGUUCUAGUUGCCUUCACAUACCACCGAUCUGUCGAUUCUCUCUCUCAUCUUUUUGUUCCCCCGAAUUCUAGUGUAUCAUUCCAAUAGUAUUUAUCGUCAGUUCUUUGCGUGGCGGCAGAAGGGCUCCUCCUCCGUGUCCGGUUCUGCUGUUGCAUUCCAGCAGCUGCUGCAUCAGCUUGGGGACGACUACGACUCCCCCGUGGAUUUCCAGCUUCCGGACUGGCUCAAGAAGCCGCUUAAGGCCGCCACGCCAUACACCUCCAUCAGGCGCAGCAUCCUAUUUCGCAAUCCCCUCGCUUCCCCUACUUUUGCCCCUUUCUUCUUCAUCGCCUUCUUUUCAUUCCACGCGCUGACAAGUUCUCUCUUCAUUUUUUUUUCCUCGUCAGUCCUUCUAUCAUGAUUAUUACGUAGUGUAGGCAUUCAAACUCUCUGAUCUACUGAAAAUUAAAGAAGAAAUUUGAGAAGAAACAAAAGCGAAAAGGCCAAUUCAAGCAUAAGCAAGGGAACAAUUUUACUUACGAAAUUUGCAACUUCUAUUUCACAUUUCUCAGUGUCUCACAGUAUAUAUAAGAUUACCUGUUGUUUCUCUUGACCACGCAUAAGAUGUGUAUCUGACCAAAAGGAUCAAAAGGCAUGCUGACGAUGACGGCAUCUUCUGUUCCUGCACUCCUCCCCCUUCUGGAAUAUCAUCCGUCUCUGUCUGCGAAAGAGAUUGCCUUUGUGGGUGAGCACAUUCAAAAUUUUUUGUGCCGUUUUAAAAAAUAACGAAGAAACCAUACCUGUAGCUUCAUAUUGUGCAAAGCACCAUGCCAUGAAUGAUGGUGUUCUCUGGAGGCUUUCCAUCUUUUAUUAUCUUCUCAUGGCCACCCUUGUUCAGUCGAAUGCUUUUUUUCUAUUCUUUCUUGCUGCUCCCUUCUUCUUCCUCUUCUUCUUUUUGUCAUGCAGAAUGCUUUUGUCUACCUGCUCAAGAAGUUGCAAGUGUGGCAGUUUAUGUGCUAACAAACCGUUUCAAAACCGCCCUAUUAAGAAAGUAAAAUUGAUUGAGGUAAAACUUUACCUGCUGAGAUUUCUUUCUCGUCUUGCUGUGUUUAAGAUGCCUUCUUCCCGUCUUGCUGUGUUGUAAGAUGCCUUCGUCCUUACUUGUGACGCAUUCUCUAUCAGCUAUAUUUCAAUUUUGUUUCAUGGGCUUAGCAUGUAUAUUUUUGUCACCAUCAUUUGUGCUGAACUUCCGGGCUUGGAUGCACCAAAUGCGUCUUUGUGCUCUUUGUACUCUAUUUUUUACGUUAAUUGCUUUUUGGACCUCAUUGUUUCGCCACCACGAAAAGUGUUCUAUAAUUGGAGGGAACACUUCUCACAAUUUGAGUUUAGCCAGCUCGUAUUUCCCUUUCCAUUCCAAUUCGACUUAAAUCAGUAUCUUACAAUGCCAAACUAAUCUAUGCUUUCUACAACUCAUCUUUUUAUUUAUUAUUAUAUACGCUCUCGUUGCUUAGUGUGCACUUUCCAAUUAUACUAUAUCGGCCUGUUGAUAUGAUAAGCUGUUUUACCCAUAUGUUUGUCUGAUUUGUUCGCCUUAUUUGCCACUACAGUAUCUUCACUGCUAAUUUGUUUGGUAUAAGAAUCACUAUUUUCAAGAUUUGCUACUUGAGGCUUUGUGCGGAGGUUAAAUCUUAAUAUGGUGUACUUCAGUUCGAGCACCCUCAUCACUGCACAGUUCUAUUUCCAGAGCCGGUGUGCCUUGUUGUUGCAACCAAUGACUGUUCUUUAGAUGUGUUGAAUAUAAAAUACAAAAAGAAAAAAAAAAACUUUCUUUGAUAGUUUAAGCUUUUGAAGAACAACAGUUCUUUCAUUUAUAAAUUGUACCAUAGCAGAAAGUCCUAAGUUCGAGUCCCAUCGGUCUCCUUUCUUUAUUUAAUUUCCUCUCAUUUACUAUUCCACGUUUUUUGUCUAUCAAAAAGUAUCAAACCUAGACAUAAGGGAUAGAGUUGAAUAUAAAAUGUUUAAAAACAUGGUUCUCUUGUAUCUUAAGCAUUUGGAGAACAAUUGUUGUUUUAUAUUAUCUAACAAGAUACCCAGCCAUCAGGCUCUUAUUUUGCAACCAAUGCUAUCUUUGCAACUAUGCUACCUCUCUUGUGCUAAUUCUUAUUACUUAUCAAAAUAUGCAUAUCAUUUUUGUAUUGUAGAUGCUACAUCAGUUUCCGUAUUCGUGUUGACUGCCUAUCAUAACAAUUUAUGUCCUUUGUGAUUAACCGAAGAAAGAGCACUCCAUUUAAUAGAGUGUUGUAUCAUUUAAUAAUUUAUGUCCUUCCAUAUCAAUGUCAUAACAAUGACGUGAUAUGUCUCUAAUUGGCAUGGUCGGUGCAUAAUUGAGUGUAUGUAUAUAUCAUUUCAGGUGUUGAAGAUCUGUCUUCACUUAUGCUUAUUUUGAGAAGUAAGCUAUAGAAUGCCUGCAAUCAUUUCUCUCGUAAAAUGUGAACAAAACAUGUAUAGUUUUUAAAAGUUCUGAUUAAGCAUAAUUUCUUGACGCUACAUGAUUUUAUUCCCUAGUUUGGUCCUUUCCUACUAAUAAUAAACUGUGAAGAGAAUUUGGAACUGGGAAGGAGCUGAGAUAAUGUGAUUUAUGUUGAUGUAGAUAUGAGAUAAGUUAAAAUGGAUGGAAAUAACUGUACAGCUUGGAAUGAAGGUUUUGAAAUUCUCGUUUAAUCUUAAAUUGGCAUUUUCACUAAAAUUUUUCGAUAAUUCCUGUGACUGGUUUGCUUAUUUGCAGUAUGUCUCCUUAUGGUUCGAGAUCAUGGUUAUUUCAAGAAAUGCAAAUUCUAUUUUUUGAAAGGAUAAUGCAAAUUCGAUCAGAAUAUCUGACCCUUUUUAUGGUUUGAGAUCAUGGUUAUUUGAAGAAAUGCAAAUUCUAUCAGAAUAUCUGACCUGAUAGAGAGAAAACUGGGUAUUUCCAGCCAUAAAAUAAUUACAUAAAUAGACCAAAAGCAAAGUUUUUCUAUGCUAUAAGGAAUAUGCCUAUAAGCAUCUACAAGAAAAUAUUAAGAAGUGCCGAUCAUCAUGUUGUAACUAAUAAUAAACUUGUGUGCAUUCUUUGGUAAAUCUGAAGAUACUAUUACAUAAUAACAAGUGAAUAUACAUUAAAAUAUUAAUUGGUAAGAUAUAAAGCAAUGCUCUUGACUGCUUUAGGUGCACCUUCGAAGAAAUGCUUCUGAAAUAGUACAUAUAUGUGGAUAUGUAUAAGAUUGCUUGAUGAUCCAAUAAUUGAUCUUCUCAAGUUGAAGUUAUUUCUUUUCCCUCGAGGAGCAUGUAGUAAUUGGCCGAUUAGGAGGUAUGCUUAGAUGCAUUUUGUGCCAAAAAAAAAAAAGUAAAUGAAAAUCAGAAGAGGUAUUGAUUUCUUUGUAGGGGCCUUGUCCGAUAAUGCAUUUUGUGCCAAAAGUAUCGAUUUCUUUGCAGGGGUCUUGUCAAAUAGAGUGUUAUUACCUUGGUUGCAAGAGGCAACAGAAGACUUCUUAAUCUUUGAUUUAGCAUAACUUUAGCCAGUUUGUUCUGCCCAAUUAGAUGUUCCUUCUGUUCCUUCCUUUUCAAGUUAUGGAUCUCAGAUGUUGUUCCUUUUGUUCUAAAUCAGUGGAACAAUUUUUUAUAGACAGAGAGGUGUGGACUGGGACUUGUAGCAGAUGAAGACAUAAAACGGGGAGAUUUUGUGAUUGAAUAUGUCGGUGAAGGUAAUAAUAUUCAUCUAGUAGCAUUUUUUUUGUGUUAAAACAAUAGAUUUGGCUGUAUGAUGUUUCACAUUUUAAUAGGAACUGACAUGUUCACUCCUUUCUUGAUUUAACAGUCAUAGAUGAUAAAAAGUGUGAGGAAAGGCUGUGGAAAAUGAAGCACUGUGGGGAGACUAAUUUUUAUCUCUGUGAGAUCAAUCGUGACAUGGUUAUUGAUGCUACAUACAAGGGAAACAAGUCUAGAUUUAUAAACCACAGCUGUCAACCUAACACUGAGAUGCAAAAAUGGUCGUCCACACUUCCAUUUAUUUUAUUUUGUCGUUUGGUGGGAUACCAAACUGUAUUUUAUGUCUUUUUAUAGGGCAAUUGAUGGUGAAACCCGUAUUGGUAUAUUUGCUACUCGUGACAUAAGAAAAGAGGAAGAACUGACUUAUGACUAUCAGUAUGUUCUUCUAAUACACCUUUUUUUUUGUGCCCUGGUUUUGGGCAUACUACAUCUCUUUCAACAUGCUUAUGCAUGGCUCUUUUUUAAUUCAAUUACUGAUUAUGUUGCUAAGAUAUGCAGAUUUGUACAAUUUGGAGCAGAUCAAGAUUGCUAUUGUGGUGCCCUAGGUUGCAGGCAGAAACUGGGUAACAAGCAUAGCAAACUAAAGCUCUCUUCAGAUACGGAUGUUCAACUUACUCUCUUUGAGGUGGCACCAUAUAGAAUCUGCACUUUUUACCUUUUUUACUUGUUUAUGAAAGCAAUUCAUGGCAUCUUAGGUGCAUUUUUCAGUCACAUUGCAUGUUCAAUUAUGCUCGAUUUUUGUUUUUGAAAGUACCAGUAUGCUAAAUUUCGGGUUCCUUUUCGUCCCUUUAGCAUUGUAAUCUCAAAGAUAUUGGAAAAUUUUGGCAAGAAUUAGACUGUUUUCUGUCGCAGCCUUCUAAUGAUACAAAAAACAUCAAAAUUAGGAAAUAUUGGCUUUGAAGUAUCACUAUGAUGAACUAUAGUUGGUUAUCCCUUGGAUCCUUUGUAGUAGUGUUGCUUAUCAUUGUAUUUAUUAACUUGAAAUUUUCAAGUCCUUAGUUUUCCAAAAUUUUCACCUUUUCCCCUUAAAUUUCUUGUUCCCCUUCUUUUUAAGUUCUUAUAAAUUUCCAAUAGAAAAACAUGGAAACUUAUCUGAAACUGCUGAAACUCUUGAAACCCUUUUUUUCAGUGAUGAACAGAACCAGUACCGCGUUUUAAGACCAUAUGAGAACUUGAAGUUGAGAUAUCUUGCUCAUAUACUUUCACUUUCCAAUGACCGUUCUUUUAAGUAUUGCUUUUUAAGCGAAAUAAUUUACUAUACUUCGUUUUUGCUUUUCAAACCAUAGAAAUAAUUGAUGCUAAGCCUGUUAAUGAGUAACAUGAAACAGUAUAAUAACUUUAAAGAAACUGGACAAAACUGAUGCCAAAGAUGUCCUUAAGGACUUACGAAUCUAAGAGCAUUUACUUGUUUGAACUGUGAGUAAUAUGGAAUUAUUGCAGUAGCUCUAUAUUUUUUCUUUUCACUGGCUGCAGAACCACUUUAACCUAGCAAUUUUAAUGUUUUAAAUCAUGAUCAACAAUGCAGCUAUCAAUUUGAAUGAUGCAAACUAAAAGGGUUUUAUUUACAUAUAUUUCUUCUUAUGUCGCAAAUUGUCGAGUAUAUCACGUUAACUAUGUAAAAUAGGCAUGAAAUGUCAGUAGUUUGGUGGAUGUUUUACCAUUACAUGGAACGAAAAUAGAGUCAUGAUUGUGCACGUAUGUAUUAUGAAAAUCAAUGCGGACAGUCUAGCAUUAACUAUUAACUAUUACGAACAACUGUUGUUACAAUUUAUAUAAAUAAGACAUGCAUGUCAAAAUGAACAGUCCACUAACUCUUUAAGUAAUCUUUUCUUUUUUUUUUGGUAGGAUGAAGAAAAUGGAAGAUCAAAUAUCGGUAUAAUGCUAUUCUUACAUAGAUAGUUACAUUGAUUUCGUCUACGUUAAGUUCUUGCUAGUUGGGAAGGUGACAAUCUUCUGAAAUAUGCGAGUUUGUGUUUUCACAUGCUUUUACUUUUAUUAUUGUUGCUUUCCCUCUCCAGCAGCAAGCUAUUCUGUUCCAUGGAAAAAAAAGAGCAAUUCCAGAAAUUGUAUUGGGGAAGUUGUACGAGUAUGGUCUCGUUGUGAUGAAAGGUAUUGGUAGAAUUCUUCUUAUUUGGUCAAGGGUGGAAAAAUGCAAUUUGAAUUGUUAAGUAUAUACUACAUAGUUCUCUAUAGUUUGGGGAAGCAUCACGCUGGGGGUGCGGGGGGCAGCGUUAAUGGCUGAAACUAAAUUGUUGCCCAACGCUUUACUUGGUUACAGCUGCGAACUUCUUUUUCUCUUAACUCAAAUUAUAUGUCAUUAAUGUGCUAGCUGAUUGGCUGCCUAUUUUUUGUUAUUAUCAAUUAAUUACUGCAAGGAAAACCCAUAGAUGUAUAGAUUGCAAAGAGUCUACCAUACUGCCAAUGCAUUAACUGUUGUAGGUUUUGAGUUUAGAGCCUAACCAAUUAGACCUCGAAGUUUGGCACAGGUGAAUGUGGGCUGUGCCGGAAAAAAAAGUUAAUUGUGAGGAAGCCCAAUAGAUGUAUGGAUUGCAAAGAAUCUACCAUCUGCCAAUGCAUUAACUGUCAUAGAUUUUGAGUUUAAAGCCUAAGCAAUUCAGCCCUUGGAAGUUCCACACGCAUGAAUGUGUGCCGUGCUGUGGAGUACAUCCUUACCCUUUAGCUAAUGAACAUAAGCUUUUAUUCCACUUUUCUAACUUCUGGAGAUUUACCUCUGUUGAUCAAUAACGUGAAGCUUGCAAUAAAUGUGGCAGGUACGUUGGCGGUGUUAUACUUGGAUUUAACUGCUAUUCAAGAGAGCAUACGGUAAGCAAUAUUAUUGAUUUGAGUUGUUACAUGUCUAAUAUUGGAUAAUUUCAAAUAUCAGAAGCACUAGGAUUGAAAUAGCAUGCAUUCCUUUUGUUAGAUCAUCAAGGAGGAUGGGCAUAUUGAAAAUUUUGACCUGUCAAAGGAAGAUUGGGACUUCGUGUGUAUGGUUGAUGUAAUUUAAGAGGUAUUCCAAAUUUUCUCUGUCCGUCCGCUUUUCUCGUUGAAUACCAGGAAUUUUAUGCAAUCGAAGUGUGGACAAGAACUUUGAUUUACCAUGAAGCAUAAUAUACAGUUAACAAUGAGUUCUGAUAUGUUACAGAACUUCCUUCCUCUUCAGGUCAAGUUAAUGGAGGGAUGGUCAAGUAGGCCUGAUCUAAUAACAUUUGGCAUAAGGUCAAUUCGUUUUCUCUCAUUGUAAUAUGUCUCCUACAAAUCCAUGAGACCUGCCCACUGUCCCUAUACCUCACCCUCCAUAAACCAAACCUCUCUACUAUGUCCGUCCUAGCCGUAAACACCCUAGACUAGGGAUGAAAAUGGAUCUGGGUUGGUGGAGCUCCCGCCCCAAUCUGUCCCGAAGGGGGCGGUAAGUGGAACAAAAAAUAUAAAAAUAUAUAACAUGUCCCGACGCCACACUAAUCCACCAAAUAAAUGACGCCGCACUAAUCCACCAAAUAAAUGGAGCGGGAGGUAGGAGAUUAUUUUUUUCCUUCAAUCUGUUCUAAUUCGUUAAAAAUUCGUCAAAAAUUCGCUCUCGUCGAGAAUGAGACGGUAAGUGGAGUUAAAAAUAAAAUAAAAAAUAAUAUAUCCCGACAAGAAAUGGAGGGUGAGAUUUCUCCAAAUUUAUCUAUUUUUUAUUGCUUAAAGAAAAAGUGCCUCAACCAAAGAAUAAAAAAAUAGAAGAAAAAAAAGAAAGGUAAGACAACCAAAGAAUAAAAAAAAAGAGAAGAAAAAAAAAGGAAAGUUAAGGCAUGAUAUUAAGCUCCACAAGUGAAACUUUCCAUUUUGGGGUUAUUAACGGGAGUUACUAUUUCUCACUUUACCUAAAAUGGAAAGUCUCGCAAUUUUACUGAAACGGAAAAUAGCCCAACCUUCGCGGGGCCUUACCCGGCCCUUUAGAAAAAUUCGAUCCAUUAAGCAGGAUAUAUAUACCAAUCGAAGCCCAUCUUGCUCCAUGCAUGGGCCGUUCUAAGGCCCAUUUAUCCGUAUACCUAUAUAUUAUACUGUAUUAUUAUGUAUAUUAUAUUACAGUAUACUGUAUAGUAUACUUUGUAUAGUAUUAUGUACUAUACUCCCUCGACUUUGAUUGUUUUGUUUUUUGACUAAAAUCCUUUUAACUUUUUUUUUGAGGUCAAACAAAUUUAAAUAUAUCAAAAUAUAAAAUUAAAAAAAGAAAAAGGAAGUCGAGGGUUCUCAAUAAAAGGAAAAACAACUGAAAGGUCUAUUUCGAAAAUGGUCAAUACUUGAGGGGGGCUUCAUACAUAUUUACCUAGAAAAAAAAUGGGAUAUGGACUGAAAUGAGUUGUUAGGCCGAGUUGUUGUUGGGUGAUGGGCCGUCACACCUCCUUUAAGAUGGAGAGGGAACAACCAACUAAAUGGGCCUAGAGAAGGUCUGAUAUACCCUUAACGGGCCAUAUCAGGCCCAGCUCCGAUUGCCCUCGUUACACCUUCUAAUGGUUCUUUCCGUUUUUGGUAAAAUCCGCGGAGGCUUUCCAUUUUAGGUAAAGUCCGAAAUCGUAUUCUCGUUAAUAUUCCCAAAAGGGAAUGUUUCACUUGCGGGGCCACAUUUUACCCCCUUUUCUUUUUCAAUAUAUAACUUAUUUCAAUAUCUUCUAAAAGUGGAAUAUCUAAUCCCAAAAUAAAAUUAGUUUUAAGACAUCUUCUAUUAAAUAUGUGAAUUAAAGUGUGUAAUUUUUAAAUGGAUAUAUAAAAUUUAAAAGUUUUAAUUUAUCGUCAAAAUUUUAUAAGUUGUGGUGAAUCUUUCCAUUUUGAUAUUGCUACCUUAAGAUUUCUCAUUAAGUGAUUAUCUCUCUUUUAUUAUUACUCAGAAAUAGAGGGGAAAAAAAAAAAGAAAGGAAAAAUUAUUACUAAGUACAUAUUUCCGGCCUUGGUGGUGAAAAUUUUCAUUUUGAGCUAUUUACGAGAGUUACUAUUUUCGACUUUGUGUAAAAUAGAAAGCCCACCAAUGUUACCUAAUAUGUCAAAAGAAAAAACAAUGUGUUUGGCGAACCGUGCUGGGCCCUAGGCAAGGCCCCCCAAAGCCCACUCUAUCUUGGAUUACGUGGGCCGUUAUUAAACCAUGUGCCUUAAAAUUGCGGUUUUAGAUAAAGUCUAGUAACUCUCGUUGAUAUAGCCCAAAAUGGAAAGUUUUCACUUGCGAGCCGCUUUGCCCCUUUUUUUUAUUUACUUUUUCUUUUUUUCUCUUUUUUGGUUAAGGUAAGGGAUUUUUUUUUUUCAUCUUGAGCAAUGAAAAAUAGUUAAAUUUGGAGAAAACUCACCAGUUUUUUUUUUUUUGUUUUGCUGGAGUAAUAAAAAAGAGCUAAAUAUAGAGAACACACUUUUUCUUUUUUUUCCUCUAUUGGUAAGAAAUUAGAUACCAAUAAUAAUAUCAUAACACUCUAAAUUAUUAUUUAGGUGUUGAAAUAAGUUAUCUAAUAUUAUCUAUAAUCAACAUAAAAAUAUUACAAACUUAGCUACUAAUAAUGAUACCAUAAUAUUCUAAACUGUUAUUUGGGCGUUGAAAUAAGUUAUCUAAUAUUAUCUAUAAUCAAUAUAAAAAUAUUUUUGUCUUUGACUAAAACUCAAAAUUGGUGAAAUGUCUAACAUAAGAUAGUAUAUUUUCUCCACCAAAUUAAUUAUUGGAACAAGAUAACUCGUGAAAAAUACAAAGUCCUUAUAAAAUUAACUUAUUAGAUAUAAAAAUUAUCUAAUCAACUUAUUUAAAACUCUAGUCAAAACUCAUCACCUAUAGUGGAAUAAUAUAUUUGACCUUCAAAUCGGUUUUUUCAAAAUAGAUGAAUUACUUCAUAAAUUAAAAUAUACUAUUAUGCAACACAUGAAUAUCAAAACCUUAAUUUAAAUCUUUUACUUGCAAUCAUGUUAGAUAAAUAUUAUGCUGAAUAAAUCAUUUUUAUAAGACCUCAGGCCUUAUUGAAAUUAAUUAUUCAAUAUUAAUUGACAAAUAACUCAGUCCGUAUAAAAUUUUUUAUAUAAUUAGAAGUUAUAAAUAUAAUUUUUGCUCAUUGAGAGCUAUAUUUAUGUUCUGGGAAGGUCCAUGUAAAGACUUUCUUACAAACUUGAAAGUAUGAAUUUAAUUAUUGUUUACUAAAUGAUCUUAAUAUUUACAAUUUGAGAGGACACUCGGGAAGGACCACUAGAUGAUUUAUUAAAAGUAUAAAUUAAUUACAUAAAAUUUACAAGUUUAAUCAUAAAUUGUGUUAUCUAUAUAACAGUCUAUUUACCUCAAAAAAGAAUAAAAAAUAAAAAUUGUGGUGAGUGUUCUACAUAUUUUCUAUUUUUAAUUACGACAAAUAAAAAAAAUUCCGUGAGAUUUCUCCAAAUUUAUCUAUUUUUUAUUGCUUAAAGAAAAAAUGCCUUAACAAGAGAAUAAAAAAACAGCAUACUAUUAAGCUCGAAAGUGAAACUUUCCAUUUUCGGGCCAUUAACGAGACUUGCUCUAUCCGACUUUACCUAAAAAGGAAAGUCUAGCCAGGUUACCGAAAAUAGAAAAUAGCCCAACCCGUUCGGGCCUUACGCCGGCCCAUUAGGAAAAUUUGGCAUAUUAAGACCCACUAUAAUACUAAUCGAAGACCAUUUCGCUCCAUUCGUAGGCCGUUCCUAGGCCCAUUUACCCGUAUACUUGUAUGUUAUACUGUACUAUGUAUAUAUUAGUGUACUGUAUAGUAUACUUUGUAUAUUAUAAUGUAGUACACUCCCUCAACUUUGAUUUUCUUUUUUUUCUUUUUUUUUUUGACUAAGAUCCUUUUUAACUUUUUUUUUUAAUGAGCUCAAAUAAUUUUAAAAAUAUCAAAUAUAAUAUUAAAAAAAGAAAAAAGAGGUAGAAGGGUCUCAAUAAAAAGGAAAUUAAUUAAAAGAUCUAUUUCCAAAAUUACCAAUACUUGAAGGAGGCUUCAUACAUAUUUACCGCUUUUAAAUGUCAUAAAUCGUUUGCCCUCUGUAUUAAAAUUAUUUUUAGUGUUUCAUAUUAUAUGUUUUUCGGAGUUUCAGAUGAUAGAAAAUGUAUAAGUUCAGUAAAAAUAGUAAUUUGUCGUUUUUUAAAUUGGGUAAAUUAUUUACUACUUGGCCUUAAUUUUAUAAAUAAAAAUUUAGAUGUUUAUUUUUCCAAUUAAAAAAUUUGUAGUUUUAUAAAUGAAAAUUCUGUUGACUUUCUAAUGCCUCUGUUCUCAAGCAAGGAAAGUAUUAGGAAACAACAAAAAAAUACUAUUAAAUUAUACUAAAAAGUUGCUGAGAUCAAAUUCAAAUAUACCGUUAAGUAUAUCUAUUUUUUAUUGCUUAAAGAAAGAGUGCCUUAAACAACGAAUAAAAAAAAAAAAAAAAAAAAAAAAAAAAAAAAGCUACGGCAUAAUGUUAAGCUCCACGGGUGAAACUUUCCAUUUAGGGGCAAUUAACGAGAGUUACUAUUUCAGACUUUACAUAAAAGGAAAAGUCCCACAAUUUUACCGGGAAAAAUAGCCCAACCCGCGCUCGGCCUUACCCGGCCUAUUAUAAAAUUUUGGCCUAUUAAGCCCAAGUAUAAUACUAACCAAAGCCCAUCUCGCUGUAUGCGUGGGCCGUUCCUAGGACCAUUUACCAUAUACGUAUAUAUUAUAUUGUACUUUGUACAUUAUAAUAUACUGUAUAGUUUACUUUGUAUUUUAUAGUGCACUACGCUCCCUCAAAUAUACUGUACUUUGUAUUUUAUAGUUUACUUUUUUUUGGGUUUUUUGUAUACAGUAUACUAUACUAUACAAAGUACAGUGUAAUGUAUACCUAUAUGUCAACUAGGCCUAGGAACGGCCUAAGCAUGGAGCAAGCUGGGCUUCGAAUAGUACACAUUAGGCCUUACUAGGCCUAUGUUAAUGGGCUGAGUACCAUUUUUGGUAGAGUCAGAAGUGGUAUGUCUCGUUAAUAGCCCCAAAUGGUUCACUUGCAGAGCUUAAUAGUAACUUUAACACUUUUUCUUUUGAGCAAUCAAAAAUAAAUAAAUUUGGAGAAAUCUCCCAAUUUUUUUUUCUUUUUAUUGUUGUGAUAAAAAAUAAAAACAUAUGGAGAACACUCACCAUAUUUUUAAAAAUUUUGAUUACUUAUAUAUUACACAAAUUGUGACUAACUCUCUAUUGCUUGUUGGCAUUUUGUAAAAACUGUUUUGAACCUGAAUAUCAUAUAUGGACCUAAUUUUCGAGUAUCUAAAUGCCUAUACGCUACACCUUAAUAUUCACUCAAAGUCUUUUAAUUAAUCGAAUUGUCACGCUAACUUUAGAUUUUGAAUAUACAUGGAAGGUGAUGGAAAGGAUGUGAAGUUGCACUAAGCGAUACAGAUAGAUUGAGCCUUAUUUAUAUGGUUUGAUCUAUUAGCCGCCAGAUUGCUUUUUAGUUAGUAAUAUUGCAGUACUGAGUAUUAUUUUAUUUCAAUGUUAUGUAUAAAACAAACUUUAAAAAUGGUUUGUCUCGGUGCUAAAUUCAUUAGCUUUUUUUAAAUUUCUUUAUAAUAUAUUUUUUUGCGUCAGUAUAUAUUAUGGGCCGAGUCCCUCUUUAGCCUAUGGAUGGUGGACCGAGCUAAUGCAAAUCUGCCGAAAUUUAGCAGCAUUCAUUCCCUGAUUCUCUGUAUGAGGACCAAUAUAAGCACAAAGAUUGGACAAACUGUUAAUGGUCCUGCUUCUAUUCAUUGGGUCAUUCUCGGUUCAUACGACGGUAGUGAAAACGCUCCAUGGCCUUAGUACGAAGGUUGAUCAGAUAGGCGGGCCUACCUCUGCGAGGUUCAGAAAAUGUACGUCCCGCUCCGGCCCAGCUCAAAAUACACGGCCUCAAUGGAGGCACGAGCCUAGUGGGCCACAACCUCGCCUCCCCAUUGACAAACCUAACGCCUUAUUGCAGGUCCAAUCCCCGGAGUGUAUAGACAGUGUUAAGCAAAGACUAAAUGGAUCCAAUGGGUCAAUAGGCCCAUUAAAAUGCCUAGUGUCCGAUAAUCUGAUAGGGCCGAAUAUCGGUGUGUAAGUUCAUCCGAUGCAUCAUCGGCCCAGAUUAUGUCGGUCGAAUAUUAGCAUUUCUUAUUGGAAAAAAAAGUUUUGUUUAGGGUUUUUAGAGUUUAAGGUUUAGGGGGUUUAUGGUUUUUUAGAUUUUAGGGUUAGGGUUGAAAUGAAAGAAUUUUUGCUCAAAAAUGAUUAUAGAUACGGAAAGGGCUUGAAAAUUACGUGUAAGGUUCGGGGUUUAAGGUCAGCUAGACCGAAAUCAGUGUAUGUAAUCGUUAAACCAGGCAGAAUCCGGCCCAUUAGCAUGUGGAUAGAAUAAGCCGAGCUACUUGCGUUUAGAUUGGUAGGCGGCUCUUAUUCGGCAAGCCUGUAAUUUUUAAUUAGUUAUCUACUAUCUCUGGAGGGAGAAUGGAGUCCACGGAAUGGGAUGUGGUCCAUGUGGAACUCAGGAUUUGGGUCCUCGUUUUGGCAAAAUUGUUGCCGGCGUCCGAGCAUCAGCGACUCGUCAAAACAUACACUUAGAAUUCAAACAUCCAGGUUUUGGAUAUAAAAUACAGAAGAGGUUGUUUCGAAAAUUCCAAUUGUUUGAUACUCUAUGAAUUAAGGAAUAGAACAAUUGUAACUAUAGAUUUCUAUGGAAAUCAUUUCUGGGGUCAAUCAUAAGCCCAGUGUGGGCAAUAUUAAUAAGCAGGCUGAAUGACCCACUCAGCCCGGUCCCACGCCUAGGAUAUCUGGGUCUAAUAUAUAGGCCUUGGGCCCGGACCCUUGGGCUUGGCGGGCUUAGUACGAAAAAUGGGCGAAGUCUAGCUCUAAGCCAUGAAUCUCCUGGCACCUAUAUGGUCCAACCUGAAAAACUACAAUCUAAGCCUUUGUAUUCCUAGGCCCAAAUCCAGCCACGAACUCGGAAAUCCAGCCUUCCUAUUAUUUGCCAUAUGAUGAUAUUUCACAGAUGUGCCCGAAAUUAAAUAAUUAGCAUGUAUGCAUAUUUCUUUUUUUUUUGGGAAAACUUCAAAAAUCCCCCCUGUGGUUUCGUAGUUUCUCACUUUGCCCCCCUGUGGUUUAAAAUGUAUCAAUUUGCUCCCCUGUGGUUUCGUUUUUAUCUUUUCGGUAGCUUUUUCGUUAAUAUUUCAUUAAAUUAUAUACAAAAAACUUCAGAUACCCAUCUAAAUUUAUCAAAUAUUCACUUUAGUACCAUUUAAUUUUAACUUUAUUAUUGAUUUAAGAAAAAAAAAUAAUGAAAUUGAUAAAAAAAAGAGAAAAAAGAAACCAUAGGAGGGCAAAUUGAUACAUUCUAAACCACAGGGGGGCAAAGUGAGAAAAUACGAAACCACAGGGGGGUUUUUUGAAGUUUUUCCUUUUUUUUUUUUUUUCAUAGUAUAGUAAUUACCUCCAUAUUAAUAUCUACUGUAGCCCUUGCUUAGUCUAUACCUGUUACAUCCAACAAAGCCCUUUGAGUUAGAGUGGGAGGAUGGAACUGUUGAAGGCCUAGAUCAAGUUCAAGGAAAAUGAGCCUAUUUAGUUUAGGGAGUAGUAUAUACUUAUGGACCCAUUGGUAAAAGAAGGUAGCUGGAUUUAGAGAAAGCUCUCUUUUGUGUGUCUGCUCAAUUUCAUUUUAUCUGCAAAAAAAAUUUCACCUACUUGGUGUAGGAAAAGUCCAUCCCAAGAAGAAUGCAUGCAUGACUGAAGCGAGAAGUAUAAGCUGGAUCUAACAAAAGUAUCCAAGGACUUAGUAAAAUAACAAGUGAAAUUAGACAGCUAGAUCAUUCAAAGGAGCAGCUGAAAAAGCCUUUUAUAAAAAUAUGAUCUAUGAGGCCGAACAACAUCUUAAUACGUAUAUAAAUAAAUUGUUUAGUAAAUAUAAAUUUGUAUUAUUACCUUACUCAUUGGAAAUUUAAGCCUCAUUUGGCAGCAGGCGAGUUCAUUUUGGUUGCUUUCACUUUGCCCGAGAUUAAACCAGUUGCAUGAAUUUUUAUUUUGCUGAAGACCAAUCCCGUUUGUCCAGCUGAACACUUUCGAUCAUAAUCGGGUCGGCCUGCAAAGAUGGUUGGCGUAGUCACUGGAUCCCAUGGAUAAUAAGCCUAGAAACGGGUAUGGCUAAAUCUGACAGGAGUGCAUAGCUAGGCCCAAUGAUCACAAGUUUUCGAAACCGACACCAAAAGGCCAAAAAGAAAUUCAGGCCUUAAUCUGGCUGUCCUGGUUGUCCAUGAAUGUUAGUGGCCCGAAUAUAUCAGGCCGAUGUCGUAUAUCUUUCCUCAGCCGGGCUGAAUGGGACGGGCUUACUUCUGGCUAAUCCCAAAAUCCGCAUAAUUGAGCUGGACGGAAAAAUUACAAGAUCAAAGUAGCGAACUAAAAUCCAUUCCCAAAACUGAUCAGGCAUUCACAUGUAUGGAGAUUAGAGGGCGUUUUGUUAUGGGCCGGGCCAUUUGUCACCUCAUAGCCCAUACAUAAUAAAUACGUAACUCUAGUGCCCUAUGCUAUUUACUAUUUUUUUAGUCUAUAAUGCUUUGUGCCAGAUCUAACUAAGAAUAUGAUGUGAUCCAUACAAUAGGCUCAACAGCAACUUCAAAUUAAUUCAUCGAUUUGAUAACAAUAAUAACAAUUAUUUCAUAACGUCUUGUUACGUUUUUUUUCAUGCUGAGGAAGAGCACGUUAAUUUUGAUAAUGAAAAAAAAAAAAAGAAAUUCACUCUUCCUGCUAAGUUUCGUCGGCUGGAGGCCCCAACCAAGUUGGGCUGCAAAUUAAUAAAAACGAAAUGCUCCAAAAGUGGACUUGUGAGAGCACGCCAUCCUCCACUCGGGCUGUUACUAGGUCCAUUUGUUUACGGAGGAGGCGUAAUUUUCUCUCUUCCAGACCAUUUGUAUUGCUUCGUCUUUGCGGAUGGGACUAAGUCUGAUAUCGUGUUAUUAUUGGCCCGGGCUUAAUUAGCAGCAGUCUUUGUAUUGAAAUUUCAAUUUGUUUUGCUACUUGCUAUUUUGUGCUUUCUAAUUAUUUCUUAUUAUCUCAAGACACCGAAAGUAUAAGCUCUUGCCAGUAACAGCAUUUGAGAUCUUACAAAAGUAAGUCUUGCUACUAAUUAAGCCCGGCCUAGUUAUAAUAAAGUAUCAAAUUGAGUCAGGUCCACUAAAAGUCGGGUCUAACAGAGAGGGCCUAAUUUACAGAAAUAGUUUGAAGUAGCUAAUUGGGCCUACUGGUUGGGCCCAGGGGCAUGUGGACCUAGGAGCGGGUUUUGAGUAUUUUGAUCUUAUCCCAAAAUAGAAAUUCCUAUUACUUAACCGAACUAAAAUCCAAUUAAAUCACACAUUCUCCCUUGGUGCUCCCCUUCUUGAGAUGGAGAGGAUAUAUACUUAAUUUUAACAAAAUAAAACAAACAAGCUUUUAGUUAAUACAAAUUUUAUAAGAAAGAGAUGUUGCAAUGGCCCACGAGCCGACAAGGCCCAACUGCCUAUUUCGGACAAAACCUUGGUUUUUCAUAGAACUGAGGCCCAUUUGAAAUAAACCCCUUUACUUUUCUUUUUGAUUGAUAUCCGAAAAGUUCUAACUAAUCUAACUUGAUUUAUUUUGUUUAGUUAAGUUGGAAAUUUGAUAAAAAAAAUUGACAGUAUUAAUUAAGUAAUUAAAUUUGAUGAAAUGGGUAAUAAAUUUGAUGAAACGGAUAAUAAAUUUGAUGAGAUCUCUAAUCUAUUUACUGAAAAAACUAAUUUUUUUAAAAAUAUCAAUAAGUAAAGAAUGUCUCAAUUAACGAAAAAGGAGAUUGUUAGCCUGUUAGGUGCACCAGCGAAGGGCCUCGGUUGGCCCAUUAAAAGUCUAUUUUGCUUUCCCUGCUGCCAUUUAACCCAUUUCAAAACUGCCAAGUUAAUCUUUUUUAGAUCGAAAUGAAGCACUCCAAAAAUAAGGUCAUCGGUUGCAUGAGAUGAUUGCAAAUAAAAAAUUUGACUUUUGCUCAUGAAAGUUUUUAUUUUUAUAAUUUGACCGAAAAAUAUAUUUUGGAAGACAAUAUAACUAUUCUUUGGGCAUUAAACACAGAGUUCAUGGUCACUGAGCUCGGGUAAGAAAGCCUUGUUAGCUCUGUUGGACCUGUCUGCAAAGUCCAGCCCAUAACAUACAAGGCCUAAACAAAUCAGAUAUCAAUCACAUGGCCCUUACCAAGCUCCAAAUAAGCCCAAUCCUUACUUAACCCAAAUCUAAAUCGAACCAUAUAGGGUUCACGUAAGUAAAAUAUAGGGCCAAGAAAGUAGUCCAAGACUAAGCCCAAGUCCAACCCAAUUAUGUGGACUUUACACAGUCCUAACUCAUGCUUAGGGCCUUCUAAAGGCCUUUCAGGCUUUGCAAACGUUAGGGAUUUCAGGGACUUGUUUUUUGAAUUUUUUUGGUGAAAGGCCUUGGGGCUCGGGGCCUUGGGGCCUUUUAAAGCCUUUUAAGGCUUCGGGCUUUUAGGAACUUUAGGGGCUAUAGGAUUACGAGCUUAAGGGUACGGACUUCGGGCCUUGGGGCCAUUUAAGGCUUUUGGGUCAAAACGGGGCUUUCGGGUUUAGAUUUUUUUUUUUUUUUUUUUUGGUUUAGGGUUUUUAGGGUUUAGGGUUUAGGGUUUUAGGGUUUAGGGUUUAUAGGGUUUAUAGGGUUUAGGGUUUAUAGGGUUUAUAGGGUUUAGGGUUUAGGGUUUAGGGUUUAGGGUUUAGGGUUUAGGGUUUAGGGUUUAGGGUUUAGGGUUUAGGGUUUAGGGUUUNC